RNAcentral lists this long non-coding RNA (61007 nucleotides) under Setaria viridis. Its description in RNAcentral is "long non-coding RNA (SVIR_LNC001244)". The record is from RNAcentral. Lineage: Eukaryota; Viridiplantae; Streptophyta; Magnoliopsida; Poales; Poaceae.
CGCCAUCGUGGGGUAUGGGUCUGAUUUCUACGCAUACUGGGCUGGGCCAACAUUUGGUGACAGGUGCUUUUUUUUUUGACCCAACAGAAGUCCCACCAACCUCAAAAAUUUAGUAAUAAAUUUAGUAAUCCUCUAAAAUAGUAUUGAAAAACACUCACGAAAACACACGCUUGCCGCUCCCACUCCGCCCGCCGCCGGCCGUCGCCGCCGCUGCUCACCUCGCCCCGCUGCUACUCCUCACUGCCGGUGAGGGCUCACGGAGGAGGGAGGGGAAGAGAGGCAGUGGAAGGAGAUCUAGAGCUAGCGGAAGGAAGAAGAUAGAGGAGAGAAAGAUAGUAAUGGAGAGAAAGAUAGCAGGGGAGGAGAGAAAGCUUGGCAGGUAGAAGGAGGAGAUAGGGGGCAAGCGCGUGGAAUCGCGCAUAAAAAAUCUAAGUCUUUACAGUGGGAGACCCUUUAGUACCGGGUGGGGGCUCCACUCGGUACUAAAGGUACUUUUGGUACCGGGUGGAGCCUAAAGGGGAUCACGGGGCCUCAUCGGAAGGCCCGGUACUAAUGGGCCAAAAAGUGAUCGGUACUAAACCUCAGAACGAGAGGUCAUUUUUUUAGUAGUGCACGGAUCGUACGGAGUUCAGGCAGAGACUAAGGGGGUGUUUGGAUACCCACCGCUAAACUUUAGCACAUGUCACAUCAGAUGUUUGGAUACUAAUUAGAAGUAUUAAAUAUAGUCUAAUUAUAAAACUAAUUGCACGGAUGGAGUCCAAUUCGCGAGACGAAUCUAUUAAGCCUAAUUAGUCCACGAUUUAACAAUGUGGUACUACAGUAACCAUUUGUUAAUGAUGGAUUAAUUAAUCUUAAUAGAUUCGUCUCGCGAAUGGACUCCAUCUAUGCAAUUAGUUUUGUAAUUAGCUCAUAUUUAGUUUCUCCUAAUUAGCAUCCGAACAUCCGAUGUGACCUUGCUAAAGUUUAGCAUCUCUUAUCAAACACCCCCUAAAAUAUUUAUCUUCCUGUCUCCAACAAACGAUGUUCCGACCAUGAACUAAAAUGACUAUCCUCUUGCAGAUGUGGUGCCGGAACCUGGGUAGACGCCCUGGGUCGCCGAGCCCCGGGACCACCCUGGUAAUCAUCAUUGAUAACAGUAGACAUUCAAUACAUUAUGUUUUCUUUAAUAAUUACACACAUCUGUCGUUAAUGCAGGUCAUUGUGGCCGGCGACGGCAUGCUGCGAGACAGGAACGUGGAAUACGUGCGGAGGAUGGAGGAGAUGCGGAAGCCGGUGGAGGCCGUCGUGUUCCCGGGGCAGGGGCACGCCUUCUUCUCGCUCCGGCCGUGGAGCAAACCGGUGGAGGAGAUGAUCCGGGUUGUGAAGCGGUUCAUGGACAAGGUCUGCUCAGACUGAGCUGAGCGGUUACUGUAGAUGCACUGAGCUGCUACUUUGUGUUCUGAUUUUUCACUGCAAGCUGCAUAAAAAAAUGGAGACUAAAUUUUAAGUCUUCAUUACUGGACAUUUACUAUGUUUUCUUCAUUUUACCCUUCAAUCAAAAUACGUAUGGCGCCGAAGUGGUGGAUAGUGUGUGUGACCCAUGCUUCAAAUUCGGCCGGGCUUCAUGUUGCCGCCAUCGUGGGGUUUGGGCCUGAUUUCUACGCAUACUGGGCUGGGCCAACAUUUGGUGACCGGUGCUUUGUUUUGACCCAACAGAAGUCCCACCAACCUCAAAUUCAGAGGACCUAACGAUCCUCUCAAAAAAUUAGUAAUAAAUAUCUAUAAUCCUCAAAAAUAGUAUUGAAAAACACUCACGAAAACACACGCUUGCCCACUUGGACCACUUCCCAUCUAGUGUACCAUGUUAUACUUUUCGAAGAAAAAAAUUACUUGACAGAUUAUCAGCUCUUUUCCAAGACGUCCUUGGACUAUUCAAUUGUUUUCUUUCAAGAGGACAAUCUGUCCGAAUUGCUGAGUCAUCAUGGGUACCAAGUGGACCAUAUGGUUAGAUGUGCAUUGCAUACAUCUUUGCUUCCUGUCACUCCAGAGCUCUGAAUAACAGAACCCAUCUAAAACAAUCGGUCUGCUUUCUCCACUUCGUCUUCCCUCGGAUCAUGCGAUCAGCUCGUGAUCCAUCACCCUCCACACCCCCCAUUGGAUAAGUCCAUGACGUGCCUUCUUCUCUUCCAUCUCUGUUAACAUCAGUCUAUCCACCGAUACAUUACUCCAUCAUGCAUCAAUAACUCGUCUUCCAGAAGGGGUUAACAGUUGAGCUCUUCAUUCAGUCAGUUCUCCUGAGACCUUUUCUACUGAUGAUGAUGUGGGCCUCUGUCAGUUCAGAAUUUCUCACAUUCAGACCCUACGAACAAGAAAGAGAUCAGAGAGGCAUCUCCAUCUCCGGCCUCUCAUUUUCAUUUGCAGUCUAGAGGAUGGGAUAUGGUUCGACGAGCAUGGCCAUAACCCGUCGUUUCUUGGCAGAUAUUUGCCGUUGACUGACUCGAUCAGUUGCAACUGAACGUAGCUGUCAAUCUAACCCUCCCCUCCCACCUCCCUCCCCUGCUCACAGCCGCUGCCCCUCCUUCCCCUCCUCACGCGCAGGCAGCCGUAUCGAACUCGCGUCAGUCAGCUAGAUCUCUGCCUUACAGGUAAAAUAUUUCUGUGUAUUUCUGUUUUCUGUUUAGAAUUAAGCAGAGAUUGCAUGAUGCUAGUAAGCGGUCAUCCCAUACGUUGAACACCUUAUAUGCCUUAGUUUCCAUUCCAGUGUGAUUAGUUCCUUUGUGUGCUUGUACCAACAACUUGAUCUAAUCUUGGCAUAUGGGAAUUAAAUCAGCUGGCCCAUGGCUGGAGGGAAUUCCACCAUAGACUGCUCCUACGAUGCACUGGAGCAAUGCUCCUCUAUGAUUACAUGCGAUGCCUCCUCAUGGGACAAGAGCUUUGGAGAGAAGAUAUGGCUUAUGAACUCACUCCAGCUCAUCAGUGCCGUCCUGGCUGGAGUCAUAGUCGGGAUAGGCAUCUACGGCCAGCGCUACCGCCACCACCGCUUCACCAGGUUUAUCUUCCUCGGAGCCACGACCCUGUUCUUGCCUGUCGUCUCCACUGUUGUCUCCAUGGGCGCCGGGAACAGUAACCACAGCAUAGUCAGGGGUGACAUUCGGUUUAUUGCAGAGUGCCAACCAAGAGCACAGUCGAUCCUGAUUGUAAUAUGGGCAUCCCUUGUUCAGAUCAUCAUGAUCAAUACCAGUGCAGUAGUUGCUGUCGAUGAUAGAGAAGGUGGAAACGUAGGUCCUCCAUUUGAGCUGCUUGUUCAGGGUGUCUGGAUCUUUUACCUUGGUAUCAGCAAUAUCAUUCCUAUGGCUGACGGAUUAUUUGAAAUCGAGCUAAGUCUUUUUGCCCUUGAAGCCACACCUUUUGCUCUCACGUGUGCCAAAAUGGUAUGGAAAUAUUAUGCAUAUGAAAAGGCGCGACAAUCCUUUGCUCUCGGACGCAAUCCCCAUCUUAUAUUUGGAUACAUGAAGCAACAAUCGUUACAAGAAACAAGUCACGAUGGUGAACCAAUGGUAGCUGAGGAUGCACCUCCCCCGCUGCUGGUUAUGGGAGAAGAGAAAAGACACGUGGAGAAGCAGCCUCUUGGGUAUGUGUUCAAGGAUGACUCAUGGACAACUUCGCAUAACAAUGGCCUGGUGACUAUUGAUAGAGUUUGGAGGAUGGAUAACGUGCUUCCAACAUCAACACUGAAACCACAAAAAGACUUAUGCUUGUCAUUUGCAUUGUUCAAGAUGUUGCGGUGCCGAUUUGCAAGGUACAAGGUCAGAACUGCUGCCUCCAAGGGCACCUUCAGUUUUUUCUGGAGCUUAUUGCUGAAGGAUGGCGAACAUGAUAGGGUCUUUUUGGUCAUUUCGGAUGAGGUUUCUUUCCUUCAUGAUUAUUAUUAUUCAUCCCUCCCGAUCUCCUAUUCCAAGUAUUGGUUGCCCGUUGCCGGUAUCUUGAUCUCACUACUGAGCAUAGCUUACUGUUGUGCAUCGAUGAUCACAGUAACGCUUUUGGUAGUCCGUCUGUUGCUGGAUGUUGGAUUCGGACCUAUUCAGUUUGCAUGCUAUUUUUUUUGCAUUCGAGGAAAACUGAGGAGCGACAUGUACAUCCAAGGUUAUGGGAAUGGGUACCUUGGUCCGGUGCUAUUAAUUUUGCUUUCGGUGUUAGUCUUGAUGUCUGAGGUGAGGGACAUAGCUACCUACAUCUACUCCAACUGGACUAAAGUUGCCGUCACCUGCCACCUUGUAAACCAUGCCUCUUCGCAGCAUUCACUUCUCAAGAAGAAAUGGAUUGGCCUUCUGCUGCGUUGUCGAUGCAAGCUGAUGAAGCAUUGGGAUGAGAAAAUAGGCCAGUGCACUAUGCUGGAGAUUCGCCCGAGAACAACCCUGCCUGUACUUCUCAGGCGUCUCCUCCACUUACCAGACCACAAGAGGAAGGUCAAGGUGCCUGCAGCAGUGAAGGUUUGCAUCAUGGAAGUUGUAAGAAGCACUAGAAAUGGAGACCUUAGCAAUGGCACAGCAUCUCUCCGCUGCCGGGGCCAAGUUGGUGAAGUGCUCCUCUGGGCUUGCAACAACAAGAGUACGUCUUAUACCAUACUGACAUGGCACAUCGCCACAAGCAUCCUCGAGGUCAGGUACCCACACCGGCUUGAUCAACAACAAGGUUCUUCUUCUCCAAUUCCAAACACGGACUAUAAGAUCGUUGCCACUCACCUAUCAAGGUACUGUGCUUACCUUGUGACAUGGUGCCCUGAGUUACUCCCUGAUGAUGAUGCAUGGAGCAGGAGCCUGUACGAGGAUGUCAAGAAGGAUGUUGAGCGUGUACUUGCCGGCUGCACAGCAGGAGACUCACUGACGCCAGAAGCAAAUUGCCAACAGCUGAUCGAAGUGCUGAGUGCAGAUGCGAAGCAUGAAGUGCUCAAGGAAGGCGCUAGGCUUGGAAAGCAGUUGUUGGCGCUGGUGGUCGAAGGUGAGGACGAUACAGCGGCGUGGAAGUUACUGGCUGAAUUUUGGUCGGAGAUGAUCGUGUAUGUCGCGCCAUCCGACAACCUCAAAGGUCAUUCGGAGGCCAUCGCCAGGGGUGGCGAGCUGAUAACUCUGCUCUGGGUGUUGCUCUUCCAUGCUGGAAUCCUCAGUAGGCCAGGUGAGGACGAUGGCGUUGCUCCUACUUCUGCUGGCGUGGUUUAGUAGAGUCUCCUAUGUUUGGAACUACUGUUUCCUCCUUGUUUCGGAUUCUUCAUCGUUGAGUUCAUUUCAUAUACCAGAAUUUGUUAACUUGUGGCAGCAUGUGACUCCAUCUUGGUAAUCAGAUGAUCAAUUGUAACAAGUCUAUUUAGAGGUCCUAUAAUAUUGUCGAGACUCGAUAUUCAGAUGUAAUGUUAAAUUAUUUCUACGUAUUGUAUUGUGAUGAAUAUAUAUGUUUCAAUUUGGUAUUGUAAUGAAGUGCUUGUAUAUUACACUAUUACUAAUUGGAGGCUCCUAAAUCCUCGCGAUGUGCUCUAGAAAAAUAGAUAAAUCUUAUAAAUUCCCACAAAAUUAAAAUUAGAAACAUCCAACCGUCAAUCCAGUAGACUCUAAUCAUAAUAGCCAUCGGAUCUAUUAUGUUUUCGAAAAACUUAAUCACAUCCCUCAUUAUAAUAAUAGCCUCAUUAUAAUAAUAGUAUAAAGUAACUCCUAAUUCUAUAUCGAAAUUUCCCACCUCUAGCAUAGGUGGGUAAUUUAUAUGGUUGGCAUCAUAACGACACAUCCAGUUUGUAGCUGUGAAUCUAUUGAGCCGGUUAUGAUGCUGGAACCAGUGGUAGAAGAUGGAACAAAUUUAGGAGUACGGAAUAAAUUUAAGGUCUGACAAAAUCAAAAAUUGAAAGUAACCAAAAAGAUAUCCUUUUCAUUAAUAGCACGAAACAGUGAAGGACGGAAUAAAUUGCAAGCUCGAUGAUCAAACAUUUAGGAGAUAAUAGCUGCAGGUCAAGAGAUGAUCAAACAUUUAGGAAACAACACAUGAAAUGCACAGCCACCGAUUGACCAAAACGAAAAGGAAAUUAAAAUGAAUGCCUAAUGAUUUGAUUUCAAAUAAAAAAUGCUAAAAAUGAAAAUUUGCAAUUUGUACCUCUCAAUUCAGCCUUGCCCUUGCCCUUACCCUUGGACUCCAUUUUAGCCUGUGCACUUCUGAUUCCCUGCGUUGUACGCUGCUUCUUGUAACACCAAUGGUGUUUACUAUAAAUUAAACCUUACUUAAGCACUAAUGAGGAGAAAUAAAAAGGAAAAGAGAAAAGAAAAGGAGAAAUACAGAAAAGAAGACUUGGUCAAACAAGGUUGAAUUAGAGAGUUGACUAAGUCAACCAUGGUCAAAUUAAGUCAAAAAGGUGAAUUUGGAUCAAUUGUGACAAAUGGAGUGGAUUAAAUUCAAAUCCAGUUUGAAUUUUUAAAUUUAAACUUGAUUUGGAAAGAGGAGUCAAAUGUGGUCAAGUACCCAUGUUUGAGUGCUGUUUCAAAAGGAUUUUAUAUAACAACUUUGGAAAAUAUUCUACUAAGAGUUUGAGUAUAAUGUGUAUAGAACAAUUUGGACUUGAUGUGGUUCACAGAAAAUGGAAUUUGGGUAAUUUAAUUGAGGCUCAAAGUUUGAACUAUGUGCUGUUUGGAGACUUAGGCAGAUUCUCAAUUCAGUGUCUGUAACUGAAACUCAUAUUCAGUUCAUAAUCAAAUCUUCAGAACUCUUAAUCUCUCAAACAGUGGAUCCUUUGAACAAAGUUCAUAUCUAUCAUUUGUAUACCUAUGUUACAUCUACAUUUUUGUUUAUUGGUGCUUGAAGAGAUUGUGUUUGGUUCGGAUGAAUUUUGCUUAAGAAAUAAGGAAUGUUUCUGUGUACCGAAGCCAAAACAUACAACGGUAAGGGUGCCUUUGGUUGGGCUUUCCAACCUACUUUUGCAAGUCAAAAGCCAACCAAAGGACCUAAAAACCACAUAUACUUUAGGUUAAAAGCUGCUUUUGCUCUAGGGUGUGUUUGAUUGGGCUGUGACUUUUGGAAAAGCUGCUGUGAGCUGUAGGCUGUAGAAAAGUAGUUGUGAGAAAGUAGCUGUGGGAAAAGCAGACUGUGAAACUGUAGGCUGUGUAAGAAAUACAUAUAAUGUCCCUAAAGGUCUGAGGGUCUGUUUAUAUGCAAAUUGUUCGUAACAAAAUAUUGUGUUUACUAAUUUGCAUGUAAAUGAGUACUUUAGAAAGAAAAAAAUAAAAUUUAUAUGUUCUUCAUCCAUCAAAGUAAUUAGUCCACAUAAAUAGAACAAUAUUCAUCAAAAGACUUAUACAAUGAUGCUAUCCCUCAACAUUACUGUCCUCUUCUCGCACUAACCAAAGCAUCAGCUAUCGUAGUACGAAUGGUAUUCAUGGUAUCAUUCUCCACACGUUUCUCAUCUUCGGAUAUGACUUUUCUUGUCUUCGGAUAUGACUAUUUAUUGAUGAAAUAUUUUUUAUUUCCAUAACCAUAUCCAUUAGUGGGUCCCAAUUAUCAUUGUUGGUGCCUAUCGUUUCUUUUUUUCUUUUUGCUUCGACUGUAUCUUCUAGCAUUGGACGAGCAUCGUCGCCCAAGCUUAGUCCCAGGAUGGAGAGGAGCUUGAGCUUGCCUGGGCCAUAGCCGCCCAAUGUGAGCUUUGCCUGCGCCAUGGCUGACCAGCUCGAGCUUGCCAACGCCAUGGCCGCCCAGCUUGAAGACGAAGUACAGCACCUUGGUGCGCAGUAGGAAGUUGCGCUCGACGGUGAAGACGAUGAGCGUGACGAGCCACUGGCUGAGGAGGUGGCCGGAGAAGGUGGCCGGAGAAGAUGGCGGUGACCAUGACACAACACUUCUAGAUCUCCAGCCCCAACAGGAUGCGCCCCCCGCAGGGGCCGCACGACGACGCUGACGACGAGCAGCGCGAGGACGAGGACGAGCACGGAGAGCUCAAGGCCGAGGCGCGCCUGGCGGUGGCACCGUGCCGCGAAGGCGGGUCUCCGGGAGCCGUCCCUGUUGCGGAAGAGGUCCUCCUUGUGGUCGGCAAUCCAUCCGAGCUACAAUCCAUCGUCAGCAAUGCAUCAUUAAGAAAAAUGGUAUCUGGAAAAGAUACGGGUAGUUUAUUGUCAGUGCAGAAGAUCUGAGCUACAAGGUUUAGAGGAAGGCAGGUCUCGUAGUGCCGCUGUUGUAGAUAGGUCUAUUUUACAUCGCUAUUGGCUUCUUCAUUGUUAUUGAGGUUAUUGCUGGGUUACAAUCUAUGGUUCUGGUUUUUGUCGGACCAGCUACAGUAAGAUUGCAUCGACAUCUUUCAGUGUACCGAUCAUAAGAUCUAGUAAAAUUCACUUGAAAUUACACGCAAAUCGGCAAAUGUUCUGUAUUUUGUCAAAGAAGAAAAAGGAAGUUGUGUUACAGGAUAACGACUAUAAUUUUACUGGGGCAAGAAAUUAGACAUGCCGAAUUUUUACCACAUAUUGUUUGCACAUUUCAUUGCCAAAAAAAGGCAUUGAUCAGCCCCAUCUAAACGUCUUAAAUAAAUGAAUGCAACACAUAGCGUUCAUCUGAUACUGUUGUAAUAUGUAUCUGCCAUCUUCUAAAUCUCAACUAAAAACUUACAUCCCUAGUCAUUGCAAUAGCAACCUGUCUCUAUCAUCCUCAGUGCAUCAAGUAACAGACAUCAGGAAUGCACCACCACUCGCUAUCAUCUUAGCCGUAUGAUUCUAAAUUUCUAAUUAAUUACUCCCUCUAUCCCAAAAGACUAUUCGUUUAGUCUCCAAAACUUGUCCUAUAAAGAGUGUUUUAUAACUUUCAGACCAUCCAACAAAGGCCUUCAUAAAACCUUCUGGCCCAGUGAACGAAUCGAUCAUUUACUCCCAUCAUCGAUGCUUGAUCCAGACUCGCUAAAUAAGGAAGGCUAAUAGGUUCGACAAUUACUAUAAGCAUGCAUGCAUAAUUAAUUAUACUUGGCAAUCCAUCCGAUUAAGAAGAGUUAUUAGAGGUACUUUGAACUUCUAGUAUUUCUACUAUCUUGUCUAAAAUUUUUUAAACGUCUUUGUGGGACGGAGCGAGUAGGCGCCUCUAGUUGUUGAAUUAUAUUUGUUUAUGAAAAAAGACAAUCACCCAGCAUAUAGUGCCUACAUUUAUUUCUUACAGUGACAAAUAUUAUUUGCAUAACACAGCCUUUUAAUUUUCUGAUUCAUUCACCAAUUAUUAACCACUGUGCACGAACCGCCUAAUGACCCGGAUCAGCUCGUCCGAGGCCUCCCCGCACGGCUCCGUGACGAAGAAGGCGUGCCCCUGCCCCUCGAACACGACGAGCUCGACCUCCUUGCCGGCCGCCCUCAGCCUCGCGACGUACUCCCCGACGCGGUCGUGGAGCACGUCCUGGUCGGGGUCGAGGACGAGCACCGGCGGGAAGUCGCCGCCGAGGUCGCCGAACGGGACGCUCCCCGGCGCGAGCGGGUUCGCGAUCGGGUGGUCCUUGGUGGCGCCCGCCGGCAGCGCCAGGCGCCACAACUGGUCGAACAGCGCUAUGCCCAUGGGCUCGCCGGGCUGGGACGCCGCCUCGGACGGCGUCAGCUCCUCGCCGCCGAAGUAGGGCCAGAGCAUCACGCAGCCGGCGAGCCGGAGCGGGGUGAGUGGGAGCUCCCCGGACCCGUGGCGCACAGAGAUGUGGUGCGCAAUGUUGCCGCCGGCCGAGUCGCCGGUGACGAACACCCGGCGGAAGUCGGCCGACUCGGCGAGCCACAGGUCGGCGCCGGCGCCGGACGCGGCGGCGGUGGCCUGGGAGCGGAGCCAGGAGAAGACGGACUCGGCGUCGUCGAGCGCGGCGGGCAGGCGGUGCUCGGGCGCGAGGCGGUAGUCGGCGGAGAGCACGACGGCGGGCAGCUCGGCGGCGAGGCGGAGCGCGCCGGCGUGGAAGUUGAUCACCUCGAAGCUGGCGACGCAGAAGCCGCCGCCGUGGAAGUACACGAGCACCGGCAGCUUCUUCUCCUCCAACCCGCCGCCAGCGCCGGCGGUGGAGAGCCGGUACAUGCGGAGCCGGAGGCCGUGCGCGCCGUCGUAGACGACGUCCUUCCACUCCACGGGCAGGUCCGGCGGCGGCACGCCGCCCACGAGCGGGAAUACCGAGUAGUCCGUGGACCGCCUCACCGUGCCGUCGCUGAGCAGCUGGACGAGGCCGAGGCAGUCCUCGACGACAUGUGGCGCUGCCGCCGAGCUUGCUGGAACGGCCGACGACAUGACAAGUUGGCUACUGAACAGCGAACACAGGAGUGUGACCGAGCAAGUCACGAAGCUUUACGGCCGAUAAAUAGCCAGGCAUGGUCGCAAGGAUGCCCUGGCCUUUAUUUCGUUGACUUGGACUGACUACCGGACCCACCGGUAAGCGACACUAGGCUAGUCAGAGAGCCGUGCGUCGAUCAGCCGCCGUGGACUUCUCCUACCCGCGAAGUGAGAUUUUCCACGCGUGACAAGCACAAUCCGUGCCACGGAGGAUGACACGUCACUGUCUCCACGUGUCGAAUGCUCGUCGGUCACUGCAACGAAGAUAAGCUCGGAGUGAGCAGUGGCCACUGUUGGUCAAAGCGUUCCCAUCAGAUCACGGCGGCCGUGUGCAGUUGGCAGUUGCUUGUCUGAUCAUGUGACCAUGUCUAGUUCCAACCUGGGUGUUGCUCUUCCAUGCUGGGAUCCUCGGUAGGCCAGGUGAGGACGACGGCGUUGCUCCUACUUCUGCUGGCAUGGUUUAAGUAGAGUCUCCGUUAGGAACUACUGUUUCCUCCUUGUUUCGGAUUCAUCAUCUAGAAAAAAUAGAUAAAUCUUAUAAAUUCCCACAAAAUUAAAAUCCGAAACAUCCAACCGCCAAUCCAAUAGACUCUUAUCAUAAUAGCUAUUGGAUCUAUUAUGUUUUCUAAAAAAUUAAUCACAUCCCUCCUUAUAAUAAUGGUAUAAAGUAACUCCUAAUUCUAUAUCGAAAUUACCCACCUCUAGCAUAGGUGGGUAAUUUAUAUGAUUGGCAUCAUAACAACACAUCCAGUUUGUAGUUGUAAAUCCAUUGAGCUGGUUAUAAUGCUGGAACACAACUAGUGGUGGAGGAUGGAACAAAUUUAGGAGUAUGGAAUAAAUUUAAGGUCUGACGAAAUAAAAAAUUGAAAGUAACCAAAAAGAUAUCCUUUUCAUUGUAAUAGCACGAAACAGUGAAGGAUGGAAUAAAUUACAAGCACGAUGAUCAAACAUUUUGUUGGCGCUAAAAGUCAGCCGAUUGACUCUUAGCGUCGGACACACGACCCGGGAGAAUCUAUUUAGCUCCUGUUCGGGUGAUCGCUCUGGUGCGGUUCGCGCGGCUUGCCAGCCAAUCUGACCUGUUGAUGAUUGGCAAGGAAGGAAACGUGUCAAAUUCCAAGGGUUCUGAUCGGCUAAGGUUCCGAUCUCGAGGAAGCGUAUCAGCGAAUCGGCCGAUUUGCUAUGAAAAGACAAUCGGCUAUGAUACAGCCGACGAUCGUGUAGCAAUUGCGAAGAAAACUAUUUGAGUAAACUAGACAAAGCUACGAAAGCAACACUUGAAAUAGAUCUAAUCGGCUAUAUGAUAAUGAUGAAUGAAAAUAACAAUAACAAAGCCGACAAUUCAAAUCUCAAGCUGGAUAAUUGGUGAUAAAACUAGAACAACAGAUAAAACCUAUAAUUCUAGUAAAUAUCGAUAACUGGUGAAUAAAUCUAAACGAAACGACAGCGAUGCGCCCGAAGUUAAAGCUUAGAUAUUACUCGAUAAGCGGAACUUACAGAAUCGGCCGGAGAUUGUGUCGAUGCAGCUCUGCCAACCUGCACGAACUCGUGAAAGAAGAAAAGUAUUGGCGAAGUCGCCGACUUGAAAGUAAAGUGCGAUGAAAAAGUAGAUUUGUUUGUAUUGAUUGAUGUGUUGUUUACAAAUCUCUAAAAGUGGCUAUUUAUAGCCUGUUACAACCAACUUCCUAACUGACUAGGAUCUAUCUCUAAUCUUAAACGAAAACGAAUAUUUACAAACACAACUCGUAUCGGAGUUGGUUAUUAUACUCCUGCGGACCAAUCUUUCUCUAUCUUCUUUCUCUGAUCCACUUUAAGCCCAUAUUAGCCCAAUCGCUCCAGCCUUGCAGUCGGCCGAUCUCCACCAACUCCGCCCGCCAAAAUACUGUAGCGUCAAUCAGCCGAUCCCCAACUGUAGCACCAAUUGGCCGAUUCCCAAUUGUGACCUUUUAAUCUGCCGCAUCGGCCAGUCCUUUCCUUCCUUGACGCUGAUUCCAUACGUGUCAAAAUCUGACGUCAACACAUUUAUAAUAAGAGAUGAUCAAACAUUUAGGAAACAACACACGAAAGUGCGCAACCACCGAUUGACCAAACCGAAAAAAAUUUAAAAUGAACGCCUAAUGAUUUGAUUUCAAAUAAAAAUAUGCUAAAAAUGAAAAUUUGCAAUCUGUUCCUCUCAAUUUAGCCUUGCCCUUGCCCUUCGACUCCAUUUUAGCCUAUGCACUUCUGAUUCCCUGCGCUGUACGUUGCUUCUGUUGCCGGCCGGCCGACGGUGCACUUCGGCACCCGUACGUCGCACUGUCGCAUCUCGCCGGGCGCACCGUCGCAGCAUGACCUCGGGCCUCGAUGUCGCCCGUGACCCGUGAUCGGCAAAGCGCUAAGGGUUGCGACGAGCACAAGCGCUAGGUCUCUCGUGUGGAUUUUGGGUUGCUAGUGUUUUGGGCCAUUACGCACCAGGGCAAAAAAAAACAAACAAAUCAAUUGGCCCAAUGCAAAGAACACUCGGCCUUGUAACGGUUGGCAGCCUGACGUUUCCGUUCUUCUUCCUGGACCUUUUACAUUCAAUCAGUUCGUCGCUCAUACAGGCAGCCAUGACGUCCUGUGUGUAGUAGAUGCAGCAACGGAAGGGGAAUGCCAUACUGGGCCCUCCGCCCCUGAGCACAACUGAUUCUUGAGCAACUGGGAGUGACAUGCAGUUUUGCAACAGUUCAAAUUAAAGGAACUGCAAAUAAAUGGAUGUAAAUGAAGGCAGAGAAAGAAGAAAAAGGAUCGAAUCAAAGAGAAAAAGAAAAAAGGAAAACCCACAUGCUAUUUGCUAGAAUGAAGAUCAUGGCACACAGAUGCAGCUAAAGGGUCCGAUCGAUCUGAAAAGGAGAAGGGAACUGCGUGGUGGCAUGAUCGCCCCCACAGCCCCACCUUCCAGGUGGCGAUGACAGUUUUGUGUCUCUCUCAGUCCGCGAAAGAUUAAUUGCAGCGAUCUGGGCACUAAGUAAAGAACAAGGAAACAAUUUAUCGACAAGCUAAUUUAUCGAUCAUCCUGUGACUCGUGUUUUUGUAUGUGUGAUUAGUUUUUUUUCCUUUGUGGACAAGCUGAUUUAUCGAUCAUCCUGUGAAGAAUUCCAUUUUUCUCGAUUCAAAAGCUCAGAUGGAUUAUCUUGUUGAGUUCCGACUGUUUCCGUAUUCUCUCCAUGACUCCAAAGAGCAACAAAACCCACCACCAUAUUAACAACCAAAUAAAAACGCGUUCCGUAGAGCAUACGCUUCUGUCGGUGAAACCGAAGAUGAAAGGACGAAGGAAGACGAGCAAAAAAGGAAAAGCUUUGUUUUGUGCUUUUGAGUCCCCCCACCAUCAUGCAUUUGUUCCAAUUUUAUUAUAGUUUUGGUGCUGAGAAUGAUGUAAAAACUUUAUUGUGUGCGGUUGUAGAGGUCGGAGAUAAUUUCCUUUUUCUAAAAUAAAAAACAUGCAUUUGUUCCAAUUGAGCAUGUAGGCUCAGGGCGUAGCAGCUCUGGUAACGAAGGUUCACUUGUGUGGUCAAUAACCUCUCCCAGGGAGGCAGGGACGUCGGGACAUGGGGAAAGAUGCGACAUGGUUUGCAAGAGAAUAUUUGCUUGUGCUUAUUGCAAUGCGUGUUGCACGCAGGACUCCUUUUUAGCUACGUGUUCUUUUUUAUUUUCUUCUUUAAAACUUACCAUUGGCGGAGAAGUGGAAAUAUUAACGUGGCCUUAUUCUAACAAGAAAAUUAAUUAAGUUAACUGAACAAUCAAAUUAAUUAGGCUAAAGAAGUGACCAUGUGCGUGCAUUUCGUCUAUCUACAACGGAUCUUUUGACUUGAAACAAAAAUACCUAAAGGCAGUUAAGGUACCUUUUGGCAAGGAGACUAUCAUCAUUGCCAUAACAGAAAAUAUUUUAGGCUUAAUCUAGAUGCCCUAGGCAGUAAUAAGGAGAUUACUUUACUAUUACUAAUUGGAUAUUCAUUUCAAAGUCCGUUAUAAAAAAAAGUAAAUCCAAAAAAUACUCAUAAAAAUUAAAAAUAUCGAGACCAUAUGGUAUACCCUAAUCAUUAAUGGUGGAUCCACAGAUUGUAUUGUAUGGAGCCCGAGCAGAGACUAACACAUUUAUCUUCCAGUCUCGUUCCAACUAUCGAUUAAAACAACUAUCCUCUUGCAGAUGUGGCGCUGGAACCCGAGUAGCCUUGGGUCGCCGGGCUCGGGACCACCCCUGGUAAACAAUCAUCAUUGUUAGAGAUAUGUUUCCUUUGUGUAUUUAUCCCAUUGUAUAAGGGGUUCUGUGUAUAUGUACUACCACCUGUACUCUACUUAUAUGGGUCUAUUGGCCCCCUGGGAAUAUAUACUGAUUAUUCCUAACAUGGUAUAGAGCCAAAAUUGAUCUAGGGUUCAUCAGCUCCUGCCACCGCCGGCUGGUUCCGUGUUUUUUUUUCCCGUCGGCGCUGCUUCGGUCGCUCGUGCGGCGCUCUUCCGGCCGCCUGGCGGUCCGUCGCCGUGUCGCUCGUGCGGCCGCCCAUCGAUCUGCCGCCACGCUGCUCGUUCGGCCGCCCGUCAGUCAUACGCCGCGGCGUUUGUCCGGUCUCCCGUCGAUAUGUCGCCGCCCGCUGACUGGAUUGGCCUUGCGCUCAUGCGUUGCUCAUGAUUGCUCUGUUCUGCCUGUGAGACCAUCCGUGGUUGCUCCGUCCUGAUUGCUCGUGCGUGACUCGUGAUUGGUUGGAUUGUGCCUGUACGUAUCCAGAUUGGCUUCUACACUUGUACGUGGCUUGUGCAACCUGAUUGGUUGGAUUGUCCCUGUACGGAUAAAGAUUGGCUUCUACAGGCAGCACCUAUCUACCUUCCUGAUGGCUUCUACAGGUAGCACCAUCUCUGUUCCUUGCUGUUCGGUGCUCUUCGAUGGCACCAAUUACACGGAUUUUAUACAGCAUAUGAGGGUGCACAUGCGCGGUCUUCGUCUCUGGGGUGUUCUCUGUGGUGAUCUUCGUUGCCCUGUUGUUGCGGCUCCGCCUCAAGAGCCUGUGCCUCCUUCUGACUCGACGAAGGAUCCUGCUACUUCCUCAACCUAUGACAAGAAUGUUACUGCAUAUCAGGAGGCCUUGGAUCUGUAUCGUGAUCAGCUGACAUUGUACACUCAGUGGGUUGAUGAUGAUGCUCGUGCUGCUUCCAUCCUUGUCGCCAGCAUGCAUUCUCCGUUUGCUUCUGAGAUUGUUGGUUUGUCUACUGCUUUUGAGAUGUGGUCUCAUCUUCGUCGUUGCUAUGCGCCAUCUGGAGAUGUCCUCUACCUUUCAGUGGUUCAUCAGGAGCAAACACUUCAGCAGGGAGAUUUGACUGUUGAUGCCUUUUAUGCUCAGAUGUCUGCUAUAUGGCGCCAGUUGGACACUCUCUGCACUGCUGGCUGUCGUACCUGUGACUGCUGUCGUGCUCUCCGAGCUGAGUGCGACUUCCGGCGUGUCUACGAGUUCCUCACUCGGCUUCGAUCGGAGUACGAGCAGUGCCGCGCUCAGCUACUUGCACGUCACCCUCGUGUCUCACUCGUGGAGGUGCUCAUUGCUGUUCGCUCCGAGGAGACUCGUCUUCGUGAUGCUGGUCUUCUGCCGCUUCCUCCAGUGCCCACAGUGCUUGUGGCCUCACCUACGGGGUCUUCUACAUCAGCUCCUUCGAUGACAUCUGUUUCGUCGACAGCUUCUUCGGCUGCUGCUUCACGUGCUCCAUCAUCUGGUAAAGGCUGUCCUUACUGUGAUUAUUGUGAUUGUGCUGGCCAUUGGGAGUCCCAGUGCUACAGGAAGAAGAAGCAUCAUCGUCGUCCUCCUGGUGCUUCUUCUACGGCUCCGACGUCUACUACGUCUCCUACUUCGUCUUCGACUACUGACAGUACUCAGCAGGAGAUUCUACGGCUGCUUCGUCACUUGUGCGUCUCCUCCCCUUCUGCUGCUACAGGUUCUACUGGUUCUGCUAUGGUGUCUUCCAGCAUUGAGAGACCAUCCUCUUCACAGUCAGGUACUCUUCCAUGGAUCCUUGAUUCUGGGGCUUCUUUUCAUAUGACUUCGGACUCUUCCAUUCUUUCUUCCUUACAUUCUCCUUCGUCACCUAUUUCUGUACUCACUGCGGAUGGUACUUCUCUUCCUGUUGCUAGUCGGGGAUCUCUUGAGACUUCUUCUUUUCAUGUUCCUUCUGUUUCUUAUGUUCCCCAACUCACCUUGCAGCUCAUGUCCGCAGGUCAGAUCACCGACCAUGAUUGUCGUGUUAUCCUUGAUUCUGAUUCUUGUUUUGUUCAGGAUCGUCGCACGGGGUCCCUGAUUGGUACUGGUCGUCGGCUCCAUGACUCUCAACGCCUUUGGCAGCUUGACUGGCUUCGUCUUCCUUCUGCUGCUGCUGGUCUUGCUACUUCUUCUUCCACAGGCACAUUUCAGCAAUGGCAUCAUCGUCUUGGUCAUGUCUGUGGAUCUCGAUUAUCUUCAUUAGUUCAUCGUGGUCUUCUUGGUCCUAUCUCAGGAGAUGUUUCUCUUCAUUCGUGUCAAGGUUGUCGCUUGGGAAAGCAUAUUCAGCUUCCUUAUCAUAGUAGUGAGUCUGUCUCUCAGCGUCCUUUUGAUUUAGUCCACUCAGAUGUAUGGGGUCCUGCUCCCUUUUCUUCGAAAGGGGGUCAAAGAUACUAUAUCAUUUUUAUUGAUGAUUUCUCUCGCUAUACUUGGAUUUAUCUUAUGUCCUCUCGUAGCGAGGUUCUACCCAUAUAUCGAUGCUUUGCUACUAUGAUUCGUUUUCAGUUUGCCACGUCUAUUCGUGCUUUCCGUGCUGAUUCUGCUGGCGAGUUCCUUUCUCGACCUCUCCGUGCUUUCCUCGACUCUCAGGGAACCCUUCCUCAAUUUUCUUGUCCUGGUGCCCAUGCGCAGAAUGGUGUAGCCAAGCGCAAACAUCGUCACCUCCUUGAGACCACGCGUGCACUCAUGAUUGCCUCCUCUGUUCCUCCUCAUUUUUGGGUUGAGGCUGUCUCUACUGCCACACAUCUUAUUAACAUUCAGCCUUCCACUGCCCUUCAGGGGGGGAUUCCGUUUGAGCAUCUUUUUGGACGUCUACCUGACUACUCUUCGCUUAGACUAUUUGGUUGUGUUUGCUAUGUUCUUCUUCCACCUCGGGAGCGUACCAAACUAACUUCACAGUCUGUUGAGUGUGUUUUCCUAGGCUACAGUUCUGAGCAUAAGGGAUAUCGUUGCUGGGAUCCGGUCAGUCGUCGGAUGCGGAUUUCUCGCGAUGUUGUCUUUGAUGAGUCUCGUCCAUUUUAUCCUCGUCCUUCCUCUGAUGUUUCACAGUCGUCUUUGGUCGAGCCGCUUUCUUUCUUGACUUUCCCCGAUACACCUAUUGCUUUUCUGCCUCCUUCGAGCCUUGUACCUUUGCCUACAGAGUCCCCUUCUAUUUUGCCUUUUUCUGUGGUUUCAUCUUCUGAGCCUUCUCCUUUAGUUCCUGACUAUUCCAUGAAGCCUCCAGUGACACAUGUCUAUACACGACGGGUUGUGUCCUCUCCGCAUGAUUCUUCUCCUGAUGUUUCGGCAUCUUAUUUUGACACCCCUCCUUCGCCUGCGCUUGAGCCGCUUCUUGGACGUGGUUGUCGAGUUCGUCGGCCUCCUACUCGGUACGAUCCCGCCGCUUUUUCUUCUACCGUCCUUUCUGAGCGACUUCAUAUCGCGAUGCUCUCCUUCAUCCUGAGUGGCAGGAGGCGAUGGCGGCGGAGUUAGCUGCUCUUGAGCGUACUGGUACCUGGGAACUUGUUCCUCUUCCUCCUCGCAUUCGCCCUAUCACGUGCAAGUGGGUAUACAAAGUCAAAACUCGCUCUGAUGGUUCUCUUGAGAGGUACAAGGCACGUCUUGUGGCUCGUGGUUUUCAGUAGGAGCAUGGUCGUGAUUUCGAUGAGACUUUUGCUCCGGUUGCUCAUAUGACCAUUGUUCGUACUCUCCUUGCUGUUGCUUCUGUUCGUCAGUGGUCGAUCUCUCAGCUUGAUGUCAAGAAUGCUUUCCUUAAUUGUGAGUUGCGUGAGGAUGUCUAUAUGCAGCCGCCUCCGGGGUAUUAUGUUCCAGAAGGCAUGGUUUGUCAUCUUCGUCGUUCUUUGUAUGGCCUUAAACAAGCCCCUCGAGCUUGGUUUGAGCGUUUCUCUUCUGUUGUCACUGCUGCUGGUUUCUCUGCUAGCGACCAUGAUCCUGCGCUCUUCAUCCACUCUUCUCCUCGUGGUCGUACUCUUCUUCUCCUAUAUGUUGAUGAUAUGAUUAUCACAGGGGAUGAUUCUCAGUUUAUUGCCUUUGUCAAGGCUCGGCUUUGUGAGCAGUUUCUCAUGUCUGAUCUUGGUCCUCUUCGCUAUUUUCUUGGGAUCGAGUUUUCCUCUUCGUCUGAUGGUUUCUUCUUAUCCCAGGAGAAGUACAUUCAUGAUCUUCUCGCUCGAGCCUCUCUGACUGAUGAGUGUAUGGUUGACACCCCGAUGGAGCUUAACCUCCAGCUUCGUCCUACUGAUGGUGAGCCUUUGGCAGAUCCUACCCGCUAUCGCCAUCUUGUUGGGAGUUUGGUCUAUCUUGGUGUCACUCGUCCAGAUAUUUCUCAUGCAGUACAUAUUCUCAGUCAGUUUGUUUCCGCCCCCACACAUAUUCACUACAGUCAUCUUCUUCAUGUUCUGCGCUACCUGCGUGUCACUAGCUCUCGCCGUCUUUUCUUUCCACGCUCCAGUUCCUUGCAGCUUCGUGCUUACUCUGAUGCUACAUGGGCUAGUGAUCCCUCUGAUCGCCGGUCCAUUUCUGCUUACUGUGUUUUCUUGGGUGGUUCUCUCAUUGCUUGGAAGACUAAGAAGCAAACCGCGGUUUCCCGUUCUAGUGCAGAGGCUGAGUUGCGUGCUAUGGCGUUGUUGACAGCAGAGCUCUCCUGGUUACGGUGGCUACUUGAGGAUUUUGGUGUUUCUUUGACUGGACUGACUCCUCUUCACUCUGACAGCACGGGGGCUAUCAAUAUUGCUCGGGAUCCGGUGAAGCAUGAGCUUACCAAGCAUAUUGGUGUUGAUGCCUUCUUUGUUCGGUCUCAGGUUCAGGAUCAGGUGGUUGUUCUUCAGUAUGUGCCUUCGGAGCUCCAGGUCGCUGACUUCUUCACGAAGGCACAGACUCGUGCACAGCAUAGUUACUUUCUCUCCAAACUCAGUGUUGUAGAUCCACCAUGAGUUUGAGGGGGGUGUUAGAGAUAUGUUUCCUUUGUGUAUUUAUCCCAUUGUAUAAGGGAUUCUGUGUAUAUGUACUACCACCUGUACUCUACUUAUAUGGGUCUAUUGGUCCCCUGGGAAUAUAUGCUGAUUAUUCCUAACAAUCAUCAUUGAUAAAAGUAGACAUUCAAUAAUAUAUUAUGUUUUGUUUAAUAAUUACACACAUCUAUCGUUAAUUGCACUUCUAACUUUAUGACUACGACGGGCACAGCUUUGGAAAAGAAAGGAACAUAUUCGCGAGCAACCAUAUAAUAAGCAUCAAAAGCAAAGAUAGGGAGCAGGAAAAAGCAAGCGCAUUCAGAAAAAAAAACAUAUGGAGGAAACUGCAGGAUUGAGCACUAACCAUCCAUAAGGAAACACAUUAUUCCGAGAGCAGGCAGGCAGCCGUAUCGAACUGGCGUCAGUCAACUAGAUCUCCGCCUUACCGUAAAAUAUUUCUGUGCAUUUCUGUGUUCUGUUUAGAAUUUAGCAGAGAUUGCAUGAUGCUAGCAAGCAGUGAUACUGAUCCCAUAUGUUGAACACCUUAUAUGCCUUAGUUUCCAUUCCAGUGUGAUUAGUUCCUUAAUUUGUGUGCUUGUACCAACAACUUGCUCUAAUCUUGACAUAUGUGAAUUAAAUCAGCUGGCCCAUGGCUGGAAGGAAUCACACCAUAGACGACUGCGUCUACGCUGCACUGGGCAAAUGCUCCGCUAGGAUUACAUGCGAUGCUGAUAUGGCGUCCUCAUUCGACAAGAGCUUGGGAGAGAACAUAUGGCUUAUGAACUCACUCCUGCUCACCAGUGCCGUCCUGGCUGGAGUCAUAGCAGGGAUAGGCAUCUACGGCCAGCGCUACCGCCACCACCGCUACACCAGGUUUAUCUUCCUCGGAGCCACGACCCUAUUCUUGCCUGUCGUCUCCACUGUUGUCUCCAUGCGCACCGGGAACAGUGACCACAGCAUACACAGGCAUGAUGAGGCCACUCAUUUGAUUGCAGACUGCGGCCCAAAAGGACUAUCGGUCAUGAUUCUAAUAUGGGCAUCCAUUUGAGCUGUCGAUGAUAGAGAAGGUGGAAACGUAGGUCCUCCAUUUGAGCUGCUUGUUCAGGGUGUCUGGAUCUUUUACCUUGUUAUCAGCAAUGUCAUUCCCGCCGCUCGCACAAAUGACAUCACGGUACUAAUUAUUGGUGCCUUUGAAGCCACACCUUUUGCUCUCACGUUUGCCAAAAUGGUAUUGAAAUAUUAUGCAUAUGAAAAGGCGCGACAAUCCUUUGCUCUCGGACGCAAUCCCCAUCUUAUUUUUGGAUACAUGAAGCAACAAUCGUUACAAGAAACAAGUCACGAUGGUGAACCAAUGGUAGCUGAGGAUGCACCUCCCCCGCUGCUGGUUAUGGGAGAAGAGAAAAGACACGUGGAGAAGCAGCCUCUUGGGUAUGUGUUCAAGGAUGACUCAUGGACAACUUCGCAUAACAAUGGCCUGGUGACUAUUGAUAGAGUUUGGAGGAUGGAUAACGUGCUUCCAACAUCAACACUGAAACCACAAAAAGACUUAUGCUUGUCAUUUGCAUUGUUCAAGUUGUUGCGGUGCCGAUUUGCAAGGUACAAGGUCAGAACUGCUGCCUCCAAGGGCACCUUCAGUUUUUUCUGGAGCUUAUUGCUGAAGGAUGGCGAACAUGAUAGGGUCUUUUUGGUCAUUUCGGAUGAGGUUUCUUUCCUUCAUGAUUAUUAUUAUUCAUCCCUCCCGAUCUCCUAUUCCAAGUAUUGGUUGCCCGCUGCCGGUAUCUUGAUCUCACUACUGAGCAUAGCUUACUGUUGUGUAUUGAUGAUCGCAGUAACGCUUGAAGAAGUCCUGUCGUUGCUGGAUGAUUCAGCAAGCGGACCUCAGAUUGAGUGCACUGUUUUUUGCAUUCGAGGACCUCUGAUGAGCAAGCCCAUGGAUACAGAAUAUGGGAACUUCAACUUCGAUCUGGUGCCAUUAAUUUUGCUUUCGGUGUUAGUCAUGAUGUCUGAGGUGAGGGACAUAGCAACCUACAUCUACUCCAACUGGACUAAAGUUGCCGUCACCUGCCACCUUGUAAACCAUGCCUCUUCGCAGCAUUCACUUCUCAAGAAGAAAUGGAUUGGCCUUCUGCUGCGUUGUCGAUGCAAGCUGAUGAAGCAUUGGGAUGAGAAAAUAGGUCAGUGCACUAUGCUGGAGAUUUGCCCGAGAACAACCGUGCCUGUACUUCUCAGGCGUCUCCUCAACUUACCAGACCACAAGAGGAAGGUCAAUGUGCCUGCAGCAGUGAAGGUUUGCAUCAUGGAAGUUGUAAGAAGCACUAGAAAUAGAGACCUUAGCAAUGGCACAGCAUCUCUCCGCUGCCGGGGCCAAGUUGGUGAAAGGCUCCUCUGGGCUUGCAACAACAAGAGUGCGUCUUAUACCAUACUGACAUGGCACAUCGCCACAAUAAUCCUCGAGGUCAGGUACCCACACCGGCUUGAUCAACAACAAGGUUCCUCUUCUCCAAUUCCGAACACGGAUUAUAAGAUCGUUGCCACUCACCUAUCAAGGUACUGUGCUUACCUUGUGACAUGGUGCCCUGAGUUACUCCCUGAUGAUGAUGCAUGGAGCAGGAGCCUGUACGAGGAUGUCAAGAAGGAUGUUGAGCGUGUACUUGCCGGCUGCACAGCAGGAGACUCACUGACGCCAGAAGCAAAUUGCCAACAGCUGAUCGAAGUGCUGAGUGCAGAUGCGAAGCAUGAAGUGCUCAAGGAAGGCGCUAGGCUUGGAAAGCAGUUGUUGGCGCUGGUGGUCGAAGGUGAGGACGAUACUGCGUUGUGGAAGUUACUGGCUGAAUUUUGGUCGGAGAUGAUCGUGUAUGUCGCGCCAUCCGACAACCUCAAAGGUCAUUCGGAGGCCAUCGCCAGGGGUGUCGAGCUGAUAACUCUGCUCUGGGUGUUGCUCUUCCAUGGUGGGAUCCUCAGUAGGCCAGGUGAGGACGACGGCGUUGCUCCUACUUCUGCUGGCGUGGUUUAGUAGAGCCUCCUAUGUUUGGAACUAUUGUUUCCUCCUUGUUUGGGAUUCUUCAUCGUGGUGCGUUGUCUGCAGUUGUUUGUGUAUGUUGAGUUCAUUUCAUAUACCAGAAUUUGUUAACUUGCGGCAGCAUGUGACUCCAUCUUGGUAAUCAGAUCAUCAAUUGUAACAAGUCUAUUUAGAGGUCCUAUAAUAUUGUCGAGACUCCAUAUUCAGAUGUAAUGUUACAUUAUUUCUACGUAUUGUAUUGUGAUCAAUAUAUAUGUUUUAAUUUGGUAUUGUAAUGAAGUGCUAGUAUAUUACACUAUUACUAAUUGUAGGCUCCUAAAUCCUCGCGAUGUGCUCUAGAAAAAUAGAUAAAUCUUAUAAAUUUCCACAAAAUUAAAAUCAGAAACAUCCAAGCGUCAAUCCAGUAGACUCUAAUCAUAAUAGCCAUUGGAUCUAUUAUGCUUUCGAAAAACUUAAUCACAUCCCUCAUUAUAAUAAUGGCCUCAUUAUAAUAAUAGUAUAAAGUAACUCCUAAUUCUAUAUCGAAAUUUCCCACCUCUAGCAUAGGUGGGUAAUUUAUAUGGUUGGCAUCAUAACUACACAUCCAGUUUGUAGCUGUGAAUCCAUUGAGCCGGUUAUGAUGCUGGAACACAACCAGUGGUGGAAGAUGGAACUGUUGACGCCAGAUUUCGUCACUAGUAAUCGGCGCUAAGAAGAGAGGGAAUCGGAGAGGCACAGUUGGGAAUCGGUCGAAUGGUGCUACAGUGCGAGAUCGGCCGAUGACUUCUGUCUCGCUUCGGGUCGAAUGUGCCGGAGUCCCAAUCGGUUGCCUUUUGCCGAUAAGGAAUCGGCAGAUUAGGAGGAUGGGUUAAUUGGGCCUGUAUGGGCUUGGAAAGGAAUAAGAGGAUGAGGGGGAGGUCAGCCCAUGAAGCGUGGAGUAACUAACCGAGCACAAAUCGUGCUUGUAGAUAUUCGUUUUCUGUUUGAAUUAGGGAUAGAAUUCUAGUCGGUUAAGAAGUUAUCUGUACGGGGCUAUAAAUAGCUACCUUUGUAAAUCUGUAAUUAUCAACCAAUCAAUACAACAAGCUACUUUUUCCUCGUACUUACUUUCAAGCAGGCGACUUCGCCAUUACUUUCCUCUUUUUCACAAGUUCGUGCGGGUUGGCAGGGCUGCAUCAUCUUGAUCUCCGGCCGAUUCUGUAAGUUCCGCUUAUCGAGUAAUAUCUAAGCUUUAACUUCGGGCGUAUCGCUGUUGUUUCGUUUAGAUUUAUUCACUAGUUAUCGAUAUUUACUAGAAUCAUAGGGUUUUUGCCUGUUGUUCUAGUUUUAUCACCAGUUAUCCAGCUAGGAAUCGGUAGUUUCGGCUUCAUACACGUUCUGUUAUUAAAUUCAUCUAUUGCCGAUUAGAUCUAUUCCUAGUGUUGUUAUCAUAGCUCUGUGUCAAUUACUCUAGUAAUUUCCUGUCUACAAGGCUACAGUGAUCGGCUGCCUUAUAGCCGAUUUCUCUAUUACAGCAAAUCGGCCGAUUCGCUGAUAAGCUCUCUCGAGAUCGGAAACUUAGCCGAUCGUGAUUUCUGAACCUGACACGUAUUCUUCCUUGCCAAUCAACAGGUCAGAUUGGCUGUCACGCCGCGCGAACCGCACCAGGGCAUUCACCCGAACAGGAGCUAAGCAGAUUCUCCCGGGUCGUGUGUCAGACGCUGGGAUUUGGUUGACCGAUUUCUAGCGCCAACACACUUUUGGCACGCCCGGUGGGACCAAUACAGCCGCCAUCAUGUCAAAAGCUGCUGAAGUCUUCGAAGAUAACGUCAUCGAGGUGACGGAAGCAGAUCUGAAAGACGACCAGAAGGAAGAACUGGAUAAGUAUAUGGCACAGUUCCGGAAAGCUUGCCUACAGUCUUUCAGUCGCUCUAGAAGCGGGGAGACUAUUAAGAAAAAUCCGUUCCCUGCUCCCCGCCAGAUCACGAUUUCUGAGGACUCGGACAAAAUGGCCGAUAUGAUUCAACAGUCUAUUCAUCACGCCUUCAUUGAUCAAUCCCCGGUACUUUCAAAUAUGGUGCACAACGCCGUUGUCAACUCCUUCGCUGGCGGGAUACCUCAAGGAUACAGGGGACCGACAUAUUUUCAGCCGAUCCCACCAAACCAGAAUUAUUCGAAUUCGGUUUCACAGCCGAUCCAAUUUUCUAUCGGGGGUUCAGGUGCUUCCUCGUCAUCAGCUCCUAUGGGGUAUAACUCCAUUCAACUGUCUUCUGCACCAUUCCCUACAGUUAGCUCAUCACCCUGGGGGGCACCUUCAGCCACGGUCGGUCAGAAUCAAUCGGCCAAUCAAGGAAGCCCUCCAUUCCAAGCGUCUUUUCAGGCGGCCACUCGGCCGACCGUACCGCCAUACCAGCCUGUCGCUCCGGAGGUCAACAAGACGGCAGAGCUCAUGCUAUAUGAUGAAACGAGUGGCUCAUUCAAACAGCCGAUGUUCAAUGCGCAACCGGCUUUCAAUCAGAUACCACCUGCUUUCACUCAGCCUCAGAUUAUUCCGCCUCCGAUUUACCAACACGUGCCGAUACCUCAGCCAACGGUUCACCAGCAACAGCCAGAUUGGUCUGCACGUAUUGCGGAAGUGAUGCAAGAACAAUUCAGCUUAAAGCCGAAAGUACAAACCUACACCUACAGAACGCCAUACCCACCUACAUAUGACCUAUUGCCGUUUCCCCAUCGGUAUAAAGUUACUGACUUCACUAAGUUUUCGGGGAUGGAUGAUACUUCAACCGUAGAGCACGUGAACAGAUUCAUCAUCCAAUGCGGGGAGGCAGCUACGCAGGAUGCCCUACGGGUACGGUUGUUCUCUUCAUCUUUGUCUGGUUCGGCCUUUCAAUGGUUCACGACAUUGCCGCCAAAUUCUAUCAUCACAUGGGCCGAUUUAGAAAGACAGUUCCACAAAUACUUCUACGCCGGAGUGCAUGAGAUGAAACUGUCUGAUUUGACCAGCCUCAGGCAAAGAAGUGAUGAGCCGAUAUCCUCGUAUGUACAGAGGUUUCGGGAAAUCAGGAACAAGUGCUAUUCUUUGGCUCUAAACGACGCGCAGUUGGCCGAUAUAGCUUUUCAAGGCCUUCUGCCUCACAUCAAAGAAAAAUACGCCUCACAAGAGUUUGAGAGUCUGAGCCAGAUUGUCCACCGAUUGUCUGGACAGGAGGUACGUUCUUUCGAUCCACGGAGGAAUUUCCAGAAGAAAGUGGCGUUCCUGGAAGAGUUAGAGGACGAAGAAGAUGUUGAGAUCAGACUUGCAGAGUGGAUCAAGGGGAAGAAGCCGAUAUCAUGCCCAUUCGGCAAAAAGGAGCCAGAGGUGUUCGGCUUUGACACGACUAAGGCUGAUAAAAUCUUCGACCUUCUCCUCCAGGAAGGACAGAUUAAACUCUCGCCAUAUCACACAAUACCUUCUGCCGAACAGCUAAAAAAGAUGAAAUACUGCAAGUGGCACGACGCCACAUCCCAUGAUACUAAUGAGUGCAAAAUCUUCAGGCAGCAGAUACAGUCGGCCAUCGAGCAGGGCAGACUUAAAUUUGAAGUGCCGACAAAAUCGGCCAAGCCAAUGAAGAUCGACCAGCACCCUUUUCCCACCAACAUGGUUGAUACGGGAAAGAAUUCACUCCAAACAAAAGUGCUGACGUCUGAAUCGGCUAAAAAGAGCGGCGCUGUUGACCCCAGAAAUCAAGCUACGCCUGAAGAUGUCAAGGGGAAGCGGCGGAUGAAGGACGACGAUGGCGACUCAGAAGAACCGCGUAUUACUUCCCAGUUCCUGCUCCAGAAGUACCAACGUCAGCAUGAACGCUCAAGAUCCAGGGAAGAGGCAAUGCGACGGCACGAAGAUCACUGGAGGUGCUCGUUUUUUAUCCACAGUUGGAAAAACAACCUCAGGCUGCCUUCGGCCGAUAAUUGCCCAGAAUGCAAUGGACCAUAUUGUGGCAAUCGGCCGUUCAACAGGUCUCGCUCCAGAGACGGAAGGCCAGAACUGAUCAGCAGGAAUUGGCGCAACCAAGAUGACCAGCGCCCUCCCGUGCGUGAUCGGCUGGGGGGCAGAAGUGACCGGUAUGAUCGGUCAGAAGAUAGACGCCAUGACAGGCAGGGGGGCAGGACUGAUCGGCAUGACCGGUCAGAGAACAAGGCCAACGUUCACAGCCGGCUCGAAGAGAUGGCCGAUGCUCGGGUAACAGAUGAAAACCCGUUAGGACGCGAACCGGAGUGGGAACGCGCCAAGUCAGGGAGAAGACCAAUAAAUCCCAGGUGGUGUCCUGAUGGAUUGACCAAGUCUCAAAAACGGAGAAUCCAACGUCUCCGCCAAUGGGAACAGCAAGAAGAGGAACAACAGAGCACGACGGACAAGAAGGAAGGAAGGCCUCGGGUGUGGCGCCCCAAAAGAAACGACGAAUCGGCGGGUGACGAAUCGGCAGCCGAGAUCGGCAUGGUUUUCAUACUGCCGAUGGAAUUCAUGACUCCCACCGAUCAACAGGGCGUGUCGGCGAUAGAAGAGCAGACGGCACAAUUGGCUUUAGAGCCAAUGAUGGCCACGUUCGAGAAGCCCGAAGAUGAUGAACGGCAACACAUGAAGGCGCUGUUCCUUAAAGGGCAUGUUGACGGCCGUCCCCUCACUAGAUUGAUGGUGGAUGGAGGAGCUGCGGUCAACAUCAUGCCGUACGCCGUGCUCCGGAAGCUUGGAAAAAGCGACGACGACUUGACCAAGACAGACAUGAUGCUCAAGGACUUCGAGGGCAACGUGUCAACCGCUCGCGGCGCUCUCUGCGUCGACCUCACCAUCGGCAGUAAGACCCUUCCUACCACCUUCUUUAUUAUUAAUGGCAAGGGAUCCUACAACAUGUUACUCGGCCGGGAUUGGAUACAUGCAAAUUGCUGUAUUCCGUCGACAAUGCAUCAAUGUCUCGUACAAUGGGUCGGCGAUAACAUGGAGGUAGUCAAAGCCGAUUCCGCAUACAGCAUCGCGACAGCCGACACGCAACAGUGGAGCUGCGAAACCGUCAGGUGCAUAUCCGGCAGAGUAUGGGAGACUGAUUUCCUGAAGGUCACCGAUUUUGGCCUACAGCCGAUCCGAGCAGUCGGCUCCGAAGACUCAGAAUAGAUGGAUCAGUUCGCACGAGAAGAUGGGAAGCUAGGGCACGGUUUCACGUCCGCCGAUUUAUUAGAAAUGAUAGAUUUAGGCGAUGGUACCAAACCAAGGCCGACUUAUAUUAGUGCAAAUUUAGACCCAGAAUACAAGUGUAAAUUGACAAAUUUGUUAAAGGAAUUUAAGGAUUGUUUUGCUUGGGAAUAUCAUGAGAUGCCCGGCUUAGACCGAUCUAUUGUUGAACAUCGGCUACCCAUAAAACCAGGGUAUCGGCCGUACCAACAGCCCGCACGGCGUUGCAAUCCCAAGAUUCUACCAGACAUAAAAGCUGAAAUAACUCGGCUAAUCGAAGCAAAAUUUAUUCGGCAAUGCCGUUAUGCCGAGUGGAUCUCCAACAUUGUACCAGUGUACAAGAAGAAUGGAAAGCUACGCGUUUGCGUUGAUUUCAGGAAUCUUAAUCAGGCCACACCAAUGGACGGUUACCCCAUGCCGACGGCCGAUGUACUGAUCGACGCUGCCGCGGGGCACAAGAUUAUUAGCUUCAUGGAUGGAAACGCUGGAUACAAUCAAAUACUUAUGGCCGAAGAGGACAUACCCAAAAUGGCCUUCAGAUGUCCAGGCCACCUUGGCUUGUUCGAGUGGGUGGUAAUGACUUUUGGCUUGAAGAACGCUGGUGCUACGUAUCAGAGAGCCAUGAAUUACAUAUUUCACAAGCUCAUUGGCAUUCUGGUGGAGAUCUACAUCGAUGACGUCGUAGUCAAAUCCAAAGGACAUGAAGAACAUCUGGCCGAUUUGCGAAAAGUGCUGGAGUGCACCAAGAAACACGGGCUCAAGAUGAACCCCAAUAAAUGUGCUUUCGGCGUAUCCGCCGGACAGUUCUUAGGGUUCAUGGUGCACGAACGAGGAAUUGAAAUCAAUCGGAAGACCAUAACGGCCAUCAACAAAGUCGUGGCCCCUCAGAACAAAACCGAAUUGCAGUCUUUAAUCGGCAAAGUAAAUUUCAUCAGAAGAUUCAUAUCUAAUCUAUCUGGGCGGAUUAAGGCGUUCACGCCACUGUUGAAGUUAAAGCCUGACCAGGAAUUUAUAUGGGGGGAAGAGCAGCGCAAAGCACUGGAAGAUAUCAAGCAAUACUUGGUCUCGCCACCAGUAUUGGUUCCUCCUCAGACUGGUAAGCCGUUCAAGCUAUACUUAUCAGCCGAUGAAAAAGCUAUUGGGUUGGCUUUAGUCCAGGAGUUCGAAGGCAAGGAACGGGUCAUUUAUUAUGUCAGUAGAAGACUUCUGGACGCUGAGACAAGAUAUCCUCCAGUGGAGCGGUUGUGCCUAUGUCUUUAUUUCUCGUGCACUAAACUCAGGCACUAUUUACUGUCGGCAGAAUGCGUGGUCAUAUGCAAAGAGGAUGUAGUGAAAUACAUGCUGUCACUGCCGAUCUUGAAAGGACGAAUCGGCAAAUGGAUCUUAGCAUUGUCAGAGUUUGACCUGCGGUAUGAAUCGGCAAAAGCCGUCAAAGGUCAGGUCAUGGCCGAUUUCGUCGCCCAACACUGCGGACCAGAGAUUGCCCUCGUAGAGCCGGCACCUUGGACUUUAUAUUUUGAUGGGUUGUUAUGUGGGGUCGGAUCAGGAAUCGGCAUCAUUCUCAUAUCGCCUCGGGGGGGCAAGCUAUGAUUUUUCUCUGCCGAUAGAAGCUACUGCUACUAACAAUCAAGCAGAGUACCGAGCUGUAUUGAAGGGCUUACAACUAUUAAGAGAGAUCAAGGCCGAGUCUGUUGAAAUCUACGGGGAUUCCAUGCUUAUAGUAGAUCAGCUGACCGGCAGAUCUGAAUGCAAGGACGACGUGUUAAGAAUUUAUUACGAAGAUUGUUUACAGCUCUUAAAAGAAUUUAGAUCGGCGGUAAUCGAGCACAUCCCAAGGGAUCACAACGAGGAUGCCAACAAACUCGCCCAGCACGCAUCUGGAUAUCGGCCAAUUCUAGGCGCUAUGGCUCUAGAACUUGCGGCCGAUGACUGGCGAAAAGAAAUUGCCGAUUACCUGAAAGAUCCGUCCAAAAAGGUGGAACAACGAGUACGUUUUCAUGCUACUAAAUACGUACUGCUCGAAGACGACCUGUUCUACCGAACGAUCGACGGUGUUCUCCUCAAAUGCCUUGGAAUAGAGGAGGCCAAGACUCUGAUGGGAGAACUCCAUGAAGGGGUAUGUGGAGCACACCAAUCGACCCAUAAGAUGAAGUGGAUGAUCAGGAAUAAUGGGUACUACUGGCCGACUAUCCUCGAAGACUGUUUCAAAUAUUAUAAGGGGUGCCAGGAUUGUCAAAAGUUCGGGAAUGUCCAGCGUGCACCCGCAUCGGCUAUGAAUCCCAUUAUCAAGCCAUGGCCGUUCAGGGGAUGGGGAAUAGACCUUAUCGGCCAAAUUUACCCACCAUCAAGCAAAGGGCACAAGUUUAUUCUGGUGGCUACUGAUUACUUUACCAAAUGGGUAGAAGCAGUUCCGUUAAGAGCCGUGACAUCGGCUAUCAUGGCCGACUUCGUAAGGGAUCACAUCGUCUACCGAUUCGGCAUCCCUCAGACUAUAACAACCGAUCAAGGAACAAUGUUCACAUCGGGGGAAUUUGAGGAAUUUACAACCGAUAUGGGAAUCAAAUUGUUAAAUUCUUCUCCGUAUUACGCCCAAGCCAAUGGUCAGGCAGAAUCCUCCAACAAAGGGAUAAUCAAGUUGAUCAAAAGGAAAGUCGAAGAACAGCCAAAGAAGUGGCAUCUAUGUUUGACCGAGGCCCUAUGGGCGUAUAGGAUGGCUUGUCAUGGGGCUACCAAGUUGUCUUCCUACCAGUUGGUGUACGGUCACGAUGCAGUACUACCAUGGAAAUCGAGGGCGGGAUCGAGGCGUAUUUCGCUCCAGGACUAGUUAACGGCCGAUGACUACUCAUCACUUAUGAAAAGGGAACUUGACGAUUUGGCUGGCCAACGGUUGAGGGCUCUGAUAAGCAUUGAAGAAAACAAAAAGAAAGUAGCCAGGUGGUACGACAAGAAGGUCAAAGUCAAACAAUUCUCCCCUGGGGACUUGGUAUGGAAGUUAGUGUUGCCGAUUGGGUCGAAAGAUCCUAAAUUCGGAAAAUGGUCCCCUACAUGGGAAGGGCCGUAUAAAAUCGGCAGAUGCGCUCCAGGGAAUGCUUACAUUUUGGAGACAAUAGAAGGAGAAGAAUUUACUAGAGCUCUGAACGGAAGGUACUUAAAAAGAUAUUACCCCAGUAUAUGGGUCAGAGCAUGAGGAAUUAACCGUAACACAAUCACACAUAGCCGAUGCAAAACGGUUCAAACACAUAGUCGUCCAAAUCGGCCGAUUGUAUUCAUUCGGUACGGGCGAUGGGUUACAUGGCCGACAAAACAUUAGUCGCCCUUAGAACAAAAAAUACAAAUAACUAAUUAUUCUUCUUCUUGCGCUCCCUCCCAUUCCGUUCCAACUCAUUCAUGAUGCGGAGGUAUUCUUCUUCUAUUUCCUUCAUUGAGGCCUCCGCUUCAACUUGACGAGGAAGAGGAUGACUCCUAUCCAUGGGCGGACGCGAAGUUCCUGCUGCCGCGUCUUCGAGAACGACUCGCGGAGGAAGUGGAUGGCUCCUGUCGGUGGGAGGUCGCCGGCUACCGUUGCUCUCUACAAAGUCCAAGAUUGUACGGGCCGCCAUGGUGACAUCGUCUUGAAGUUCGUCACAACGAUGGCUCCUGACGAUCGGAGAUCGUCGGCUACUAUCACUCUCCACGAAAUCCAAGACCACACGAGCCUCCGCAGUAACAUGGUCUCGAAGUUCGUCACGAUGAGCCAUGAUCAGCUCCUUAUCUUCGGACGUCAAUGGGUCCUCGGAGUGAAUGAGCUCAAUGGCGCGUAUGAGCUCCGGGCUAAGACGCUGAGGCUGAAACAAAAAGGAAUAAGAAGAGACAUCUUCUUCCUAGGAUCUAAAAGAGAAAGGAAAAUCAAGACCAAGAUUUCACCUGAUUGACAGAAGAAGAAGAAGCCGACGAAGACAUGACUGGAAAGCCGUGCCGACGAGAGAAGAAAGGAAAUGAAAAACGAAAGCUGAACUGGUACGUUCGGAGGGAAGUGCUUAGGCCGAUAUUUAUACAAAAAAGAUGCGUGGAAAUUUGGUAAGGCUACGUCCCAUCGGAAAUAAGAAGGCAAUAAAUAGAAAGGGUGUCACGAAGGACGGUCAAAGUAGAUAGUAAAUGUUCGUACAAGAUAGUCAGUGUUUUACAGGUUACCCAGAAGGGUAUCGAUAGCCGUGAUUGCCCGAUGCCGGAUCUGAUCGGCAGAGUCAAGAACCCGUUGGUCUUCAUCCGCCGAUCCAGGGACUUCUGAUGCACUGCGGUGGAGCUUUAGGGCCUCAUGGGCGAAGCGCUGCCUCUCCCGUGUCAAAUCGGCAAUGACAGAAGGGAGUUCUCGGAGCCUUUUCUCUUCGGCACUGAUUGCCUUGGUCACUUGCUCCAUCUCCUUGGCGAGUUCCGCCCUCCGACGCUUGAGGCGGUCUAUCUCACCGAUGAUCCUCGGGCGGGAGUCCUCUAGAAAAUGGAUUCGCCGAUGCGCCUCUUGAGCCUGACGUUUGAACGCGUCCUCCUCUUCACGAGUCUUGGCCAGCUUGGCGCGAUCGGCCAUGUGACGAAGGGCUCUGAAGACCGGGAUCCUCAUAGACUCGAUGAAGGCCGCCGGCGCCAGUGCCUCUUCCGCCUCCUCUGGUACUCGUCCGCUGACGUCACUGAAGAGCUGCCAAAUCGGUGAAGCAUCUUCUACUAAUCGACCGAUGUCCCCUUGAAGGAGGGAUCGGAUACUGGCAAGUUUGGCUCGGACGUCAUUAGGAACGGAGCUCAAGGCAACUUGGCGAGAAGCAACUUCUUCAUCGUCGGAGAGGGCGACCGCAAAAGAAAAGAGGCUGUUGUCGGGGGUGUCUUGUUCCUGGAAAUAACAAGAAGGAAGAAUAAAUCGGCUGGGAGUAAAAGCAAAUCGGCUGAGUAAAAGUCGGAACAUAACUUACCGCUUUGAAGCGAAUUUCUUCAUGUUGCACUUGGGAAGCCGACACGCCUUGCUCAGGGGCCUGCGCCAUGGGUUCAUCAGAUGAAGAAGAUUCCACAACGAUCGGCGCGUGGCUUGGACCAGCUCCCUGAGAAAAGAUCGGUGGUUGAGUAGCGCUUGGUGUGCCGAUGGCCUGUGUCAGAGGAUUGAAUAAGUACAUUAUGCAAAUACCAAGGAAAAUCGGUAAAAUAGUACCAUACCUCAAUGGAUGGAAGCGGGGGCGCGCCGAUGGCCGGUUGAGUUGCUGCUGAUUGUUGUAUGUCCAUAGGUGUGCUCUGUGCAGUCUAAGGAUAAGAAGGGUUAAUAUCAGAACAACAAUCGGGAGGAAUAAAACUUAGGUUUACCUGAACGGCCUCCAAUAACAAUGACGCGGCGGCUGCCCCAGCUUGCGUGACGGCUUGGGUAUCAGCAUCUUGGAUGACCUGAGAGGGUGGUGCGGCUGGAGUCUCUGCCGAUACGAGCACAGGAGGGUCCGCCGAUUCUAUACGAGCUCGGACUCGGCGACUGGACUUCUUGGUGGUCCUCUUCUGGACUUGUUUCGAUCGGCCAGCAAUCACAUCUACGGACGGAGCAUCAUAGCCGAUAAGAGGAUAAGUGGUGUAUGGAUGACUAUCUAUUAGCCGUCCGCUACGGCUGUGUGUCGGAGGAGUUCGAUUCUCGGCCUGAAGAAAUAGUAAAAUCAUUAGUGCUCAGUCACGUUAAGAGGAAUAAAAAUCGGCUAAGUAAAGUACCUCGGCGUUCGGGUCGAUGUUGGCUGGGUCCAGGAGGUUGCAGUAUGCCGAUGCCGAGUUGCAGAAGAGAAAUUGCUUCCAAUCGGCCCACCAGAGUUUGAACGGCUGGACAGCAAAGGGAGCUACUAGCCAGUCGUUCAGGUCAAUGGUACUGGAGUCCGGAAUUCGGUCUCGUAACCGACUGUAAUCCAGACCAGAUGUGAGCUCAUCUCUAAACUUGAUUCGGCCAGCAAAAUACACUUGAAUCGGCAGCUGACCCAUGCCGAACUGACGUGCUGCAACGGAAGGGUUGUAGAAUUCAUACGUAGGGGCAUCCUUCCCCGAGAAGAAGUUGGCUGGCAGGAGUCCUGGCUUGAUUAACUCAUCAUAAAGCUCUUCAUCAAAUCGGCCAGUAGUCGAAUCAAAGCAGGUUGGGAGUUCAAAGACCGGGUCGUCCCGCUGAUAAGGAAACCAAAUGGUUGCAUCUUCAUUAAAGCCGUUAUAGAAGCAUCGAAAGUACUAGGCUACCUUUGUAGCAGAAUACGUGCAACCUGGGAAAGCUGAUGCCGCUUCACUGAAGGACAUGCAUCGGCGACGUUCGGUAGGGUCUUCUGCCGAUUCGAUGUUGGGGAACAUCAUGCGGUCCACCUGCUGCUGAGUGAUCUUGCUCAUAUAAAGGUUCAGCCACAAAUUGAUGAACCACCAGGGUCCGCCCGAAUUGCCGAUCGGCUCUCCCUUGGAUAGUCUGAUGCCGAUUUGAUGGAGCAUGUGGUACGCGGCCCCUAACAGAUGUUUCCCAAGAGGGACAUGGUUUCCUCUAGACAGCGCUUCAGCUAAGGUCUGGGUAUUGGUUGACGGGCCGGCAGCUCUUCCGCAAAAGAAAUGUUUUUCUAGCCACAUCAUCAAGAAGGCCGUAUGCUCCCUAUUCUCAACAGACCCGGUUCUCUUAUUGCUUCUGAUAAAUCCCUUCCACCCACCGAUUCCCCUUGUGUCCAGCCGAUGUGACGUUGCGGCUAGAAGGUGGUAAGGUGUGUCCGGGGAAGAGAUGCCAAGGCCGGUCAACAGGACCACAUCGGCCAGUGUUGGGGUCAUAGGUCCGUGCCCAAAUAAGAAGGCAUUAAGUGCAUCAGACCAAAAGUAAGAAGUCGCCAUUACCAACGGCUCAUUUUUCUCCAUCUGGGACAAGGAUAGGUUGAUGCAUUGGCCGAUUUUGAGCUCUACUCAUGAGACGCUCUUUGACGCGGCUACCCGUUGGUACCACUCCCUCCAACCUGGGGUUUCAUUCGGCCAGGAUCUAAAAGUACCCAACCAUUGAUCUAAGUCCAUAUCGGACAGUUUGAAGGGUAUCCUGUGGAUUUCCAAAUUGAUAAAAUCUAUUGGAUCUGGAUUUCCCAUAGGUCCGAGGCAAACAAGGCUGGGAUUUCCCGUAAGAUGAAUGGUAAUGCGAUGCCUAACUGCCUAAAAAAGGAAAGGGGAGUGUAAAAAAUAAGGAACAGAUCUAAGGUAAAUGUAUUGCCGAUAGAAGAAGGAUUCGGUAUUUACCUCUGGGAUGAAGUUCUGAGUGAUCGGCGUGGUCGCCGGUGCAGAUGCGGACGAUGGGGCCACGAUGGGGAUCGCCAUUGGGAUCUCUGAUGAAGUUCCUUCUUCUGUGGAUGGAGCAACGGCCGUCGUCACCACCGCUGGAGGCGCUACUUCUGGAACAUCGCGCGCGGGAGAGCUGCCGGAAGGAGCCGCCAUUGGAGGAGAAGAGGAGAAAGUAACAGGAGGUGGUGCUAGAAAGCUUCGGCGGCAAGGGAAAGAUGCUGAAGGAAGAAGAAGGUGCGCGCGCUGGGAAAAGAGACGUAAGCUUGAAGAUGAAGUGCGGGGUGAAGCGCUAUUUAAAGGAUGCCUGAAGGGGGGUAAAAACGGAAUUUUCACCGCGCCGGCGUUUCGAUUUUUUCGGGAGUAGUGGCUGUCGUGGGCGCCCGUUUCGAAAAGAUUGCAAUCAUCAGCUGGAAGACCGCGAAACGGAAGGAUAUUUUCAUUGCGGCCGUUUCGGAGGGGAGGUUAUAAAGAAUUUCGAAGUAAAAGACUAUGUUUUACUCCGAAACUGGGGGGCAUGUGUUGACGCCAGAUUUCGUCACUAGUAAUCGGCGCUAAGAAGAGAGGAAAUCGGAGAGGCACAGUUGGGAAUCGGUCGAAUGGUGCUACAGUGCGAGAUUGGCCGAUGACUUCUGUCUCGCUUCGGGUCGAAUGUGCCGGAGUCCCAAUCGGUUGCCUUUUGCCGAUAAGGAAUCGGCAGAUUAGGAGGAUGGGUUAAUUGGGCCUGUAUGGGCUUGGAAAGGAAUAAGAGGAUGAGGGGGAGGUCAGCCCAUGAAGCGUGGAGUAACUAACCGAGCACGAAUCGUGCUUGUAGAUAUUCGUUUUCUGUUUGAAUUAGGGAUAGAAUUCUAGUCGGUUAAGAAGUUAUCUGUACGGGGCUAUAAAUAGCUACCUUUGUAAAUCUGUAAUUAUCAACCAAUCAAUACAACAAGCUACUUUUUCCUCGUACUUACUUUCAAGCAGGCGACUUCGCCAUUACUUUCCUCUUUUUCACGAGUUCGUGCGGGUUGGCAGGGCUGCAUCAUCUUGAUCUCCGGCCGAUUCUGUAAGUUCCGCUUAUCGAGUAAUAUCUAAGCUUUAACUUCGGGCGUAUCGCUGUUGUUUCGUUUAGAUUUUUAUUCACUAGUUAUCGAUAUUUACUAGAAUCAUAGGGUUUUUGCCUGUUGUUCUAGUUUUAUCACCAGUUAUCCAGCUAGGAAUCGGUAGUUUCGGCUUCAUACACGUUCUGUUAUUAAAUUCAUCUAUUGCUGAUUAGAUCUAUUCCUAGUGUUGUUAUCAUAGCUCUGUGUCAAUUACUCUAGUAAUUUCCUGUCUACAAGGCUACAGUGAUCGGCUGCCUUAUAGCCGAUUUCUCUAUUACAGCAAAUCGGCCGAUUCGCUGAUAAGCUCUCUCGAGAUCGGAAACUUAGCCGAUCGUGAUUUCUGAACCUGACACGUAUUCUUCCUUGCCAAUCAACAGGUCAGAUUGGCUGGCACGCCGCGCGAACCGCACCAGGGCAUUCACCCGAACAGGAGCUAAGCAGAUUCUCCCAGGUCGUGUGUCGGACGCUGGGAUUCGGUUGACCGAUUUCUAGCGCCAACAGGAACAAAUUUAGGAGUACGGAAUAAAUUUAAGGUCUGACAAAAUCAAAAAUUGAAAGUAACCAAAAAGAUAUCCUUUUCAUUAUAAUAGCACGAAACAGUGAAGGGCGGAAUAAAUUGCAAGCUCGAUGAUCAAACAUUUAGGAGAUAAUAGCUGCAGGUCAAGAGAUGAUCAAACAUUUAGGAAACAACACAUGAAAUGCACAACCACCGAUUGACCAAAACGAAAAGGAAAUUAAAAUGAAUGCCUAAUGAUUUGAUUUCAAAUAAAAAAUGCUAAAAUGAAAAUUUGCAAUCCUGAACACUCUACCCCACUGCGGAGUCAAAUCCAAAGGCUCCCGGUGCUCUUCAGAACCCCAACCUCUUCCGGCUUUGGGCCCAGCACUUUUCUCCAGCAGGCUGUCCUGAACAAGUAACUUACAUUCCAGCAGAUUGGGCCUCAUUCUUCAUCAAUAUGCUGCUGUCACCUCAGCACUUUGAUUGGGCCAAAAACUUUCUUGCCUCCUCUGCUUGGAACUUCAUGCUCAGCUGUGUGGACAAUCCGUCGAUGAUGGCCUUCAACAUUCCACCAGUUUGUCCCAGAACCAGCCCCCUACCUUGCAUCAGUCAAGAAGAAGAAGGUGGUAUAUCUGCAGCUUCCUAUGUGGAGAAGGCUGCUAAGACACCCUCUACGAAGAAAGCAAGGGCAAGGCUUGGGAGCUCGGUGGCUCCGGAAUGUGAAUCUUCUGUCAGGAGGAGUAGCAGAAUCAAGGCUAGAAAUGAAGGCUUUCGUGCUGCUACCUGCCAAAACAGCAGUUGCUUGGCCUGCCACUCGAAAGCCCCCAUCCUAUCCUCAACGCACAUUCAGGGGCUGGGCGAAAAGGUAUGCAGCAUUGUUUCGUCUAAAAUUUCUUCUACUAGCUUGUCAGCCAAGACCAACCCCAUGAAGGUGGUAGGAAUCAAAGGAUCUUCAUCAUCCCAGGAGACACCGAAGAAGGCCAAGAAGACCAAGCCUCAAGGACCGAAAUCUGGAAGCUGAAAGAAUUAUGGAUGCUGUUCUUUUUAAUUCCUGUCUGUUGGUGAACAUGUCCUGUUGCAAGCCUUUUCUUAUGACAGUCACAAACUAUCAUCUGUCUUUGUCUAGGGGAAUCUUUUGCUGGAACGUUGGUUUCGUUUAUAUGGUGGUCCUGUUUGUUGCAUCAGUGAUUGGGAUUGUUUUAAGAGCUGUCAUGGUUUCUUCUUUCUGAAUCCUGAAGGUUUUUUCGGUUGGGGUCUCUAUCCCAUUUGGAUCAUGGGGCCCUUGGAAGCGAAGUUUUCUCUUUUUUGAUUAUGAGUCGUAAACGUUUGUGGAAUAUCUUAUCUUGGAACGUGAGAGGUAUUAAUUCAUCGGUCAGAUGGAAUGCGAUUAGAAGCAAAAUAGUGGAAUCGAAUGCAGAUAUCAUAUGUUUGCAAGAGACCAAAAGAGAGGUUUUCUCUGACACGUAUCUCAGGAACUUCUGUCCUCCUGCUUUCACCCUUUUUGAUUUCAUACCAUCUAUAGGCAAUUCAGGAGGAGCUAUUAUGAUAUGGAAUGCUAAUAAGUUUCAGGGUCAACCAAUCUUUCAAAACAGUUUUGCUCACUCUGUGGAGUUACAGUGUAAGUUGUCAGGGGAAACAUGGAUUCUAACCAACAUCUAUGCCCCAUGCACUCCAGAAGGUAAAAUAGAAUUUCUGGACUGGUUCAAGAGAAUCAAGAUGCCGGAUGAUGAAAAAUGGCUAGUGGUAGGGGAUUUCAACCUGAUAAGACGCCCUUCGGACCGAAAUAAACCUGGAGGUCAUCCGCAAGAAAUGAUGCUGUUCAAUGAAGCAAUCAGCAGGUUAGGACUAACAGAGAUUCAGCUCAAAGGAGGAAAGUACACUUGGACAAAUAAACAGGUUAAUCCGUUACUAGAGAGGUUGGAUUGGUUCUUCUCAUCUUCUGCCUGGAUUUCAGUCUAUCCAAACACAUGGGCAACAACUCUGUCAAGAGACUACUCUGAUCACAAUCCUUGUGUCAUUUCUAUAUCAAAUCUUAUGCCUUCUUCUCAAGUUUUCAGAUUUGAAAACUACUGGAUGCAUCAUGAACAAUUCAAUGACAUACUGCAUAAUGUUUGCACUUCUCCGGUUUCAUACUCUGAUAGAGCUCACAUCAUUGGUGCAAAAUUCAAAAAGCUGAGAAGAGAACUUAGAAUAUGGAAAGCAGGGUUACCAAGUCUGGCAAAAACCAUUCAAAACACAAAGAAGGUCAUUCUUUUCCUAGAUAUUCUAGAAGAAUCUAGAGAUCUAUCUCUGCAAGAAUGGAACUUAAGAGAUAUUAUCAUGAAUCAUCUAAAGAAUCUUUUACAGCAACAGAAAACUUAUUGGCAGCAAAGAUGUUCCAUCAACUGGGCCAAAAUGGGUGAUGAAAGUACAAGAUUCUUUCAUGCAAAGGCUUCCAUACGAAACAAGAUCAACCACAUUUCGACGCUACAAGACCAGACUGGACUGAAUGUCAAAAAACAUGAAGAUAAAGCAAAUCUAAUUUGGGUGGAAUACAAGAAUAGAAUGGGCAGGUCUGACUACCGCCACAUGUAUAUAGAUCUAAGUAUUACUCUAUCUCCAUCAGAGGGGCUACAAGUUUUAGAGGAGUCUUUCUCCAAAGAAUAAAUUGAUGGUAUCAUCAAGGAUCUACCAACAAAUAAAUCUCCAGGCCCUGAUGGUUUUAAUGGGGAAUUCCUCAAACGAUGCUGGCAUGAAUUGGCCGAAGAUUUUUAUGCUUUAUGUGAUGGCUUUCAUAAUGGGGAAGUCUGUAUGCGUAGCAUCAACUCCUCUUUCAUUACUCCUAUCCCGAAAAAAGCUGGCCCUUUGCAUGUGAGUGACUACAGGCCAAUAUCUCUGCUGAACUCAUCAAUAAAGCUCAUCACAAAAAUUCUAGCGUUGAGACUUCAAAAGGUCAUCACUAAUCUCAUUCAUAAGAAUCAAUAUGGUUUUAUCAAAUCUAGGACCAUUCAGGACUGCUUAGCUUGGGCUCUUGAAUUUCUACACUGCUGCAAAUCUUCAAAGAAGGACAUCAUCAUACUCAAAUUGGAUUUUGAAAAGGCUUUUGAUCGUAUUGAGCAUAAGGCCAUCUUAGAGAUCCUGAAACAUAAAGGCUUUGGGGAGAAAUGGAAUGGAUGGAUUAAGGCUAUUCUUGAUUCAGGCACAUCGUCAGUGCUUCUGAAUGGUGUCCCAGGUAAAACUUUUCACUGUAAAAGAGGGGUAAGGCAGGGGGACCCUCUAUCACCUCUUCUGUUUGUGCUUGCUGCUGACUUACUCCAAUCCCUUAUUAAUAAGUCUAAGGAUGAAGGACACCUUUCUCUCCCAAUCCCCUUGAGAGCCAGCAAUGAUUUCCCAAUUGUUCAGUAUGCAGAUGACACUUUACUCUUCAUGGAGGCUGAUCCGAGUCAGUUAAUACACUUAAAAAAUCUUCUGGAUAUUUUUGCAGAGUCUACUGGGUUAAAAGUUAACUACCACAAAUCCAUGAUGGUCCCCAUAAACACUCAGCAGGACAAGCUUGAUCUCUUGGCUGGUAUUCUAAAUUGUCAAACAGGAGCAUUUCCUUUCACCUAUCUGGGUUUACCUCUGGGAUUACGUAAACCGAAUAUGCAAGACUUUCUCCCUUUGAUCAAGAGAAUAGAAGGGAAAUUAGGUGGAAUAUCAUCUAUGCUUUCACAAGGAGGAAAAUUACAGUUGGUGAACUCUGUGUUAACAUCUUCAGCUAUGUUUCAGAUGGGCACUUUGAAACUACCUAAAGGACUUAUCCAUCAGAUUGACAAAUUCCGCAAACACUGCCUCUGGAGAGGCUCAGAUCUAACAUCUACCAAACCGUCCAAAGCUGCUUGGCCUUUAGUUUGUUUACCCCAAAUGUCAAGGGGGAUUAGGGGUGCUCAACAUAAUUACACAGAAUGAGGCUCUGUUAUUAAAGUUCUUACACAAUUUUUUCUCCAAAGUUGAUUUGCCUUGGGUUCACUUGAUAUGGGACAAAUUGUACAGCAAUGGUACUCUUCCGGGUGUUCAAAAGAAGGGCUCCUUCUGGUGGAAGGAUAUCGUCAAGUUGCUACAUAAAUUCAAGGGAUUUGCAUCUGCUCGGGUUGCGGAUGGAAGCACUGUGCUGCUUUGGCAAGACUUGUGGAAUGAUCACUUUCUACAAUCUGAGCUUCCCCACCUCUUUUCCUUUGCCCAGAACAAAAAUAUAUCGUAUCACAAAGCGAUAAACACGACAGAUCUCGGUUUGCUGUUUCACUUACCUUUAUCCACAGAAGCUCAUUCGGAACUCAUUAUGCUUCAGGAUUUUAUGCACAAUUUAGUCUCACAGAAUGAUUCUGAUACUUGGUCUUAUAUCUGGGGAUCCUCAACCUUCUCAGUCAGUAAAGCAUACAAGGCAUUAACAGGACAAAGGGAAACACACCCAAUACAUCGCUGGCUGUGGAAAUCGAAAUGUCAGAAAAAGCACAAAGUCUUUUUCUGGCUUCUGCUUAUAGACAGGUUAAAUACAAAAGAUGUCCUACAAAGAAGGGGGAUGCAUUUGGACUCUAACGUCUGCGAAAUGUGUAUCCCCUAAAAAAGGGAGAUGGUAACACAUCUUUUUCUAAGAUGCAAUUUUGCAAAAGCCUGCUGGAAUUCGAUUGGAAUUUCUUUUGUCUCCACAAGAUCGUCUGUUCAUAUCUUCAAUCAGAUUAGAAGGCAGAUGAACACCGCCUUCUUCAUGGAAGUCAUCAUCCUCAUGUCUUGGAGUAUUUGGACCACAAGGAAUGACUGGACUUUCAAUAAUGUGGAUCCUUUGACUUCAGGAACUCGAUCUAAAUUUUUGUCUGAGCUCUCGUUGGUGGCUUCGCAUAGGAUGAACCCUGUUUUAAGUUAGGAAUGUUUAGAUUGGAUCCACUCCCUCUGAACCUCCUCUUUGUCCCCUGUUUUUUACUUUUCUCUUGUUUGUUGUUUUGGUGUUUUUUGCUCUGUAACCUUUUCAGACCUUUCUUUAAUAUAUUUCAGUAGGGCUCGUCCCUCCUGUUUCUUUCAAAAAAAAAUUUGCAAUCUGUACCUCUCAAUUCAGCCUCGCCCUUGCCCUUGGACUCCAUUUUAGCCUGUGCACUUCUGAUUCCCUGCGUUGUACGCUGCUUCUUGUAACACCAAUGGUGUUUACUAUAAAUUAAACCUUACUUAAGCACUAAUGAGGAGAAAUAAAAAGGAAAAGAGAAAAGAAAAGGAGAAAUACAGAAAAGAAGACUUGGUCAAACAAGGUUGAAUUAGAGAGUUGACUAAGUCAACCAUGGUCAAAUUAAGUAAAAAAGGUGAAUUUGGAUCAAAUGUGACAAAUGGAGUGGAAUAAAUUCAAAUCCAGUUUGAAUUUUUAAAUUUAAACUUGAUUUGGAAAGAGGAGUCAAAUGUGGUCAAGUACCCAUGUUUGAGUGUUGUUUCAAAGGAUUUUAUAUAACAACUUUGGAAAAUAUUCUACUAAGAGUUUGAGUAUAAUGUGUAUAGAACACUUUGGACUUGAUUCGGUUCACAGAAAAUGGAAUUUGUGUAUUUUAAUUGAAGCUCAAAGUUUGAACUUUGUGCUGUUUGGAGACUUAGGCAGAUUCUCAAUUCAGUAUCUGUAACUGAAACUCAUAUUCAGUUCAUAAUCAAAUCUUCAGAACCCUUAAUCUCUCAAACCGUGGAUCCUUUGAACAAAGUUCAUAUCUAUCAUUUGUAUACCUAUGUUACAUCUACAUUUUUGUUUAUUGGUGCUUGAAGAGAUUGUGUUUGGUUUGGAUGAAUUUUGCUUAAGAAAGAAGGAAUAUUUCUGUGUACCAAAGCCAAAACAUACAGCAGUAAGGGUGCUUUUGGUUGGGCUUUCCAACCUACUUUUAAGUCAAAAGCUAACCAAAGGACCUAAAAGCCACAUAUGCUUUAGGUUAAAAGCUGCUUUUGCUUUAGGGUGUUUUUGAUUGGGCUGUGGCUUUUGGAAAAGCUCCUGUGAGCUGUAGGCUGUAGAAAAACAGUUGUGAGAAAGCAGCUGUGGGAAAAGCAGAAGACUGUUUGGUUACAGCAACUGUGAAACUGUAGGCUGUGUAAGAAAUACAUAUAAUGUCCCUAAAGGUCUGAGGGUCUGUUUAUAUGCAAAUUGUUCGUAACAAAAUAUUGGGUUCACUAAUUCUCAUGUAAAUGAGUAUUUUAGAACGGAAAAAAAUAAAAUUUAUAUGUUCUUCAUCCAUUAAAGUGAUUGUUCCACAUAAAUAGAACAAUAUUCAUCAAAAGACUUAUAUAAUGAUGCUAUCCCUCAACAUUACUAUCAUCUUCUCCCACUAACCAAAGCAUUAGCUAUCUUAGUACGAAUGGUAUUCAUGGUAUCCUCAUUCUCCACACGUUUCUCAUCUUCGGAUAUGACUUUUCUCAUCUUCGGAUAUGACUAUUUAUUGAUGAAAUAUUUUUUAUUUCCAUAACCAUAUCCAUUAGCGGGUCCCACUUGUCAUUCUCGGUGCCUAUCGUUUCUUUUUUUCUUUUUGCCUCGACCGUAUCUUCUAGCAUUGGACGAGCAUCAUCACCCAACGUCAAUCCCAGGAUGGAGAGGAGCUCGAGCUUGCCUGGGCCAUAGCCGCCCAAUGCGAGCUUUGCCUGCACCAUGGCUGCCCAGCUUGAGCUUGCCAACGGCAUGGCCGCCCAGCUUGAAGACGAAGUACAGCACCUUGGUGCGCAGUAGGAAGUUGCGCUCGACGACGAAGACGAUGAGCGUGACGAGCCACUGGCUGAGGAGGUGGUCUUCUCGGCGGUGACCAUGACACAACACUUCCAGAUCUCCAGCCCCAAGAGGACGCGCCUCCGUAGGGGCCGCACGACGAUGCUGACGACGAGCCGCGCGAGGACGAGGACGAGCACGGAGAGCUCGAGGCCGAGGCACGCCUGGCGGCGGCACCGUGCCGCGAAGGCGGGUCUCCGGGAGCCGUCACUGUUGCGGAAGAGGUCUAUUUUACAUCGCUAUUGGCUUGUUCAUUGUUAUUGAGGUUAUUAAUUGCUGGGUUACAAUCUAUGGUUCUGGUUUUUGUCGGACUAGCUACAGUAAGAUCGCAUCGAGUUCUCUCAGUGUACCUAUCAUAAGAUCCAGUUAAAUUCACUUGAAAAUUACACGCAAAUCGGUAAAUGUUCUGUAAUUUGUCAAAGAAGAAAAAGGAAGUUGUGUUACAGGAUAACGACUAUAAUCUUAUUGGGGCAAGAAAUUAGACAUACGGAAUUUUUACCACAUAUUGUUUGUGCAUUUCAUUAAAAAAAAAGGCAUUGAUCAGCCCCAUCUAAACGUCUUAAAUAAAUGAAUGCAACACAUAGCGUUCAUCUGAUACUGUUGUAAUAUGUAUCUGCCAUCUUCUAAAUCUCAACUGAAAACUUGCAUCCCUAGCCAUUGCAAUAGCAACCUGUCUCUAUCAUCCUCAGUCAGUCAAGUAACAAACAUUAGGAAUGCACCACCACUCGCUGUCAUCUCAGUCGUAUGAUUCUAAAUUUCUAAUUAAUUACUUCCUCCAUCCCAAAAGACUAUUUGUUUAGUCUCCAAAACUUGUUCUAAAAAUAGUGUUUAUAUAACUUUCAGAUCAUCCAACAAAAGCCUUCAUAAUACCUUCUGACUCAGUGAACGAAUCGAUCAAUUACUCCAAUCAUCGAUGCCCGAUCUAGACUCGCUAAAUAAGGAAGGCUAAUAGAUCCGACAAUUACUGUAAGCGUGCAUGCAUAAUUAAUUAUACUCGGCAAUCCAUCCGAUUAAGAAGAGUUAUUAGGGGUGCUUUGAACUUCUAGUAUUUUUACUAUCUUGUCUAAAAUUUUCUAAACGAACUGUCUUUGUAGGACGGAGGGAGUAGGCGUUGUUGAAUUAUAUUUGUUUAUGAAAAAAGACAAUCACCCAGCAUAUAGUGCCUCCAUUUAUUUCGUACAGUGACAAAUAUUAUUUGCAUAACACAGCCUUUUAAUUUUCUGAUUCAUUCACCAAUUAUUAACCACUGUGCACGAACCGCCUAAUGACCCGGAUCAGCUCGUCCGAGGCCUCCCCGCACGGCUCCGUGACGAAGAAGGCGUGCCCCUGCCCCUCGAACACGACGAGCUCGACCUCCUUGCCGGCCGCCCUCAGCCUCGCGACGUACUCCCCGACGCGGUCGUGGAGCACGUCCUGGUCGGGGUCGAGGACGAGCACCGGCGGGAAGUCGCCGCCGAGGUCGCCGAACGGGACACUCCCCCGCGCGAGCGGGUUCGCGAUCGGGUGGUCCUUGGUGGCGCCCGCCGGCAGCGCCAGGCGCCACAACUGGUCGAACAGCGCCAUGCCCAUGGGCUCGCCGGGCGGGGACGCCGCCUCGGACGGCGUCAGCUCCUCGCCGCCGAAGUAGGGCCAGAGCAUCACGCAGCCGGCGAGCCGGAGCGGGGUGAGUGGGAGCUCCCCGGACCCGUGGCGCACGGAGAUGUGGUGCGCAAUGUUGCCGCCGGCCGAGUCGCCAGUGACGAACACCCGGCGGAAGUCGGCCGACUCGGCGAGCCACGGGUCGGCGCCGGCGGCGCCGGCGGCCUGGGAGCGGAGCCAGGAGAAGACGGACUCGGCGUCGUCGAGCGCGGCGGGGAGGCGGUGCUCUGGCGCGAGGCGGUAGUCGGCGGAGAGCACGACGGCGGGCAGCUCGGCGGCGAGGCGGAGCGCGCCGGCGUGGAAGUUGAUCACCUCGAAGCUGGCGACGCAGAAGCCGCCGCCGUGGAAGUACACGAGCACCGGCAGCUUCUUCUCCUCCACCCCGCCGCCAGCGCCGGCGGUGGAGAGCCGGUACAUGCGGAGCCGGAGGCCGUGCGCGCCGUCGUAGACGACGUCCUUCCACUCCACGGGCAGGUCCGGCGGCGGCACGCCGCCAACGAGGUACAGCCGUCGCUGAGCAGCUGGACGAAGCCGAGGCAGUCCUCGACGACAUCUGGCGCUGCCGCCGAGCUUGCUGGAACGGCCGACGACAUGACAAGUUGGCUACUGAACAGUGAACACGUACAGGAGUGUGACCGAGCAAGUCACGAAGCAUUACGGCCGAUACAUAGCCAGGCAUGGACUCGCAAGGAUGCCCUUGCCUUUAUUUCGUUGACUUGGACUGGACUACCGGACCCACCGGUCAGCGACACUAGGCUAGUCAGAGAGCCGUGCGUCGAUCAGCCGCCGUGGACUUCUCCUACCCGCGAAGUGAGAUUUUCCACACGUGAUAAGCACAAUCCGUGCCACGGAGGAUGACACGUCACUGUCUCCUCCGCGUGUCGAAUGCUCGUCGGUCACUGCAACGAAGAUAAGCUCAAUGCUCGUCGGUUCGAAGUCACUCUGCUCGUACUUUUUGUGUUGAAGUCUGUGCCGAAUGCCUUUAAGCUUUUUUGAAAAACGCAGGAAAGAAAUGGCCAGUGUCGUGCGCUUGUUGGAUUGAAAAGGAAGACACAUCGCGUUCGCAUAGCAGCUAGAAUCUAGACACUACGCUUUGGAUUGCUGCUUCUCAUCAGCAUGGAAGGCGACGCGCCGCCGCGCGUCGUCGAGGACUGCCGCGGCGCGCUCCGCGUGCUCAGCGACGGUACCGUCGUCCGGUCCACGCCGCCGAUCGCCGGCGACACCGAGGGCGUCCGCGCCGACCCGUCCGUCGAGUGGAAGGACACCGUCUACGACGCGGCGCAUGGCCUGGGCCUCCGCAUCUACAUGCCCGCCGCCGCGGCAGCCGCCGGCGGCCGGGACACGAAGCUCCCCGUCGUGGUCUACUUCCACGGCGGCGGCUUCUGCAUCGGCUCCUACGCGUGGCCGAUCUUCCACGCGGCGUGCAGCCGACUCGCCGCCGGUCUUUCCGCUGUCCUCGUCUCCGCCGACUACCGCCUCGCCCCCGAGCACCGCCUCCCCGCCGCCAUCGACGACGCGGCCGCGGUCCUCCUCUGGCUCCGCGACAGCAUCGCCGCCGGUGCCGACCCCUGGCUCGCCGCCCACGCCGACGCGGGCAGAGUCCUCGUCGCCGGCGAGUCGGCGGGCGGCGUCCUCGCGCACCACAUGAACGUCCGCUUUUCCUCCGGCGCGCCGCUCCACCCCGUGCGGCUCCGCGGCUUCGUCCCGCUCAUGCCGUUCUUCACCGGCGGCGGCGAGCCGACGCCCUCCGAGCUGGCAUGCCCCGACGGCGCGUUCCUGAACCGCGACAUGUCGGGGCGGUACGUCCGGCUGUCGCUCCCCGCCGGCGCCACAGCGGACCACCCGUUCUUGAACCCGUUCUCGCCGGACGCGGCGCCGGGGCUGGACCGAGUUGACGUGGGGCCGACGCUGGUCGUCGUGGCCGGCGACGACAUGCUGCGGGACAGGAACGUGGAGUACGUGCGGAGGAUGGAGGAGAUGGGGAAGCCGGUGGAGGCCGUCGUGUUCCCGGGGCAGGGGCACGCCUUCUUCUCGCUCCGCCCGUGGAGCGAGCCGGUGGAGGAGAUGAUCCGGGUUGUGAAGCGGUUCAUGGACAAGGUCUGCUCGGGCUGAGCUGAGCGGUUACUGUAGAUGCACCGAGCUGCUACUUUGUGUUCUGAUUUUUCACUGCAAGCUGCAUAAAAUAAAGGGAGACUAAAUUUUAAAUCUCUAUUACUGGAUAUUUACAAUGUUGUCCAUAAAAACUUAGCUUCAAAUUCGGCCGGGCUUCAUGUUGCCGCCAUCGUGGGGUAUGGGCCUGAUUUCUACGCAUACUGGGCUGGGCCAACAUUUGGUGACCGGUGCUUUGUUUUGACCCAACAGAAGUCCCACCAACCUCAAAUUCAGAGGACCUAACAAUCCUCUCAAAAAUUUAGUAAUAAAUAUAUACAAUCUUCUAAAAUAGUAUUGAAAAAACACUCACGAAAACACACGCUUGCUCACUUGGACCAAGACGUCCUUUUAUAAUCGGACUAUUCAAUAUGAACUAGAGCAUUGAUCUCUCUGUUCAAUUGCUUUCUUUCAAGAGGACAAUAUGUCCGAAUUUCUACGCAUACCAAGUGGACCAUAUGGUUAGAUGUGCAUUGCAUGCACACUGGUACAAAGAGUUAUCUUUGCUUCCUGUCACUCCAGAGCUCUGAAUAACAGAAUCCAUCCAAAACAAUCGAUCUGCUUUCUCCACACCCCCAUUGGAUACAUUAUUACUUUAUUAGUCUAUCCCCCCAUACAUUAUUACUUUAUUAGUUUAUUAGUCCAUUAUUAGUCUAUCCAACGAUACAUUAUUAGUCAUUAUUAGUCUAUCCGCGCCUCCCACCUCCCUCCCCUACUCACACAUAGACAUGUAAGUACCAUUCUGGGGUGGCACUCACCAAUGUACCAAUAGUGGCAGGCCCAAUUUGCCGUGGACUGACUCGCAACUCAUCGUAGCUGUCAAUCUAACCCUCCUACCUACCAGGCGCCCCUCCCACCUCCCUCCUCUCCUGCUCACACGCGCCUCCCCUCCUUCCCCUCCUCACGCGCAGGCAGCCGUAUCGAACUGGCGUCAGUCAGCUAGAUCUCCGCCUUACAGGUAAAAUAUUUCUGUGCAUUUCUGUUUUCUGUUUAGAAUUAAGCAGAGAUUGCAUGAUGCUAGUAAGCAGUCAUCCCAUAUGUUGAACACCUUAUAUGCCUUAGUUUCCAUUCCUUAAUUUGUGUGCUUGUACCAACAACUUGCUCUAAUCUUGACAUAUGGGAAUUAAAUCAGCUGGCCCAUGGCUGGAGGGAAUUCCACCAUAGACUGCUCCUACGAUGCACUGGAGCAAUGCUCCUCUAAGAUAUGGUGCGAUGCUGGAGUGGGCAUAUGCUCCGAUAGGAUUACAUGCGAUGCCUCCUCAUUCGACAAGAGCAUGGGACAGAAGAUAUGGCUUAUGAACUCACUCCUGUUCAUCAGUGCCCUCCUGGCUGGAGUCAUGGUCGGGAUAGGCAUCUACGGCCAGCGCUACCGCCACCACCGCUUCACCAGGUUUAUCUUCCUCGGAGCCACGACCCUGUUCUUGCCUGUCGUCUCCACUGUUGUCUCCAUGGGCGCCGGGAACAGUAACCACAGAAUACACGACUAUGAAAACGGCGGCACUCGGUUGAUUGCAGAGUGCCAACCAGGAGUACACUCGGUCCUGGUUUUAAUAUGGGCAUUCCUUGUUCAGAUCAUCAUGAUCAAUACCAGUGCAGUAGUUGCUGUCGAUGAUAGAGAAGGUGGAAACGUAGGUCCUCCAUUUGAGCUGCUUGUUCAGAGUGUCUGGACCUUUUACCUUGGUAUCAGCAAUUCCAUUCUCUACACCACAUAUCACACCACGGAUCUAAUUAUUACUGCCCUUGCAGCCACAUCUUUUGCUCUCACGAGUGCCAAAAUAGUAUUGAAAUAUUAUGCAUAUGGAAAGGCGCAACGAUCCUUUGCUCUCGGACGCAAUCCCCAUCUUAUUUUUGGAUACAUGAAGCAACAAUCGUUACAAGGAACAAGUCAGGAUGGUGAACCAAUGGUAGCUGAGGAUGCACCUCCCCCGCUGCUGGUUAUGGGAGAAGAGAAAAGACACGUGGAGAAGCAGCGUCUUGGGUAUGUGUUCAAGGAUGACUCAUGGACAACUUCGCAUAACAAUGGCCUGGUGACUAUUGAUAGAGUUUGGAGGAUGGAUAACGUGCUUCCAACAUCAACACUGAAACCACAAAAAGACUUAUGCUUGUCAUUUGCACUGUUCAAGUUGUUGCGGUGCCGAUUUGCAAGGUACAAGGUCGGAACUGCUGCCUCCAAGGGCACCUUCAGUUUUUUCUGGAGCUUAUUGCUGAAGGAUGGCGAACAAGAUAGGGUCUUUUUGGUCAUUUCGGAUGAGCUUUCUUUCCUUCAUGAUUAUUAUUAUUCAUCCCUCCCGAUCUCCUAUUCCAAGUAUUGGUUGCCCGUUGCCGGUAUCUUGAUCUCACUACUGAGCAUAGCUUACUGUUGUGCAUUGAUGAUCACAAUAACGUUUUUGGUAGUGGACUAUUACAGAAUUAUUACUAGAUUUCCAACUGGACGAAAGUUAUGGACCGUACCUCAGAUUUGGUGCACUGCUUAUUGCAUUCGAGGAGAUCUGAUGGGCCACGGCAUGGAUAAAGAUUAUGGGAACAGGUACCUCGUUCUUGCGCCAGUAAUUUUGCUUUCGGUGUUAGUCAUGAUGUCUGAGGUGAGGGACAUAGCUACCUACAUCUACUCCAACUGGACUAAAGUUGCCGUCUCCUGCCACCUUGUAAACCAUGCCUCUUCGCAGCAUUCACUUCUCAAGAAGAAAUGGAUUGGCCUUCUGCUGCGUCGUCGAUGCAAGCUGAUGAAGCAUUGGGAUGAGAAAAUAGGUCAGUGCACUAUGCUGGAGAUUCGCCCGAGAACAACCCUGCCUGUACUUCUCAUGCGUCUCCUCCACUUACCAGACCACAAGAGGAAGGUCAAGGUGCCUGCAGCAGUGAAGGUUUGCAUCAUGGAAGUUGUAAGAAGCACUAGAAAUGGAGACCUUAGCAAUGGCACAGCAUCUCUCCGCUGCCGGGGCCAAGUUGGUGAAAGGCUCCUCUGGGCUUGCCACAACAAGAGUGCGUCUUAUACCUUACUGACAUGGCACAUCGCCACAAGCAUCCUCGAGGUCAGGUACCCACACCGGCUUGAUCAACAACAAGGUUCUUCUUCUCCAAUUCCGAACACGGACUAUAAGAUCGUUGCCACUCACCUAUCAAGGUACUGUGCUUACCUUGUGACAUGGUGCCCUGAGUUACUCCCUGAUGAUGAUGCAUGGAGCAGGAGCCUGUACGAGGAUGUCAAGAAGGAUGUUGAGCGUGUACUUGCCGGCUGCACAGCAGGAGACUCACUGACGCCAGAAGCAAAUUGCCAACUGCUGAUCGAAGUGCUGAGUGCAGAUGCGAAGCAUGAAGUGCUCAAGGAAGGCGCUAGGCUUGGAAAGCAGUUGUUGGCGCUGGUGGUCGAAGGUGAGGACGAUACGGCGUGGAAGUUACUGGCUGAAUUUUGGUCGGAGAUGAUCGUGUAUGUCGCGCCAUCCGACAACCUCAAAGGUCAUUCGGAGGCCAUCGCCAGGGGUGGCGAGCUGAUAACUCUGCUCUGGGUGUUGCUCUUCCAUGCUGGGAUCGUCAGUAGGCCAGGUGAGGACGACGGCGUUGCUCCUACUUCUGCUGGCGUGGUUUAGUAGAGUCUCCUAUGUUUGGAACUACUGUUUCCUCCUUGUUUCGGAUUCUUCAUCGUGGUGGUGCGUUGUCUGCAGUUGUUUGUGUAUGUGGAAUUCAUUUCAAAUACCAGAAUUUGUUAACUUGUGGCAGCAUGUGACUCCAUCUUGGUAAUCUGAUCAUCAAUUGUAGCAUUGUCGAGACUCGAUAUUCAGAUGUAAUGUUAAAUUAUUUCUACGUAUUGUGAUCAAUAUAUAUGUUUUAAUUUGGUAUUGUAAUGAAGUGCUAGUAUAUUACACUAUUACUAAUUGGAGGCUCGUAAAUCCUCACGAUGCGCUGUAGAAAAAUAGAUAGAUCUUAUAAAUUCCCACAAAAUUAAAAUCAGAAACAUCCAACCGUCAAUCCAGCAGACUCUAAUCAUAGUAGCCAUUGGAUUUAUUAUAUUUUCUAAAAACUUAAUCAUGUCCCUCAUUAUAAUAAUGACCUCAUUAUAAUAAUGGUAUUAAGUAACUCCUAAUUCUAUAUCAAAAUUACCCACCUCUAGCAUAGGUGGGUAAUUUAUAUGGUUGGCAUCAUAAUAACGACACAUCCAGUUUCUAGCUUUGAAUCCAUUGAGCCGGUUAUGAUGCUGAAACACAACCAGUAGCGGAGGAUGGAAUAAAUUUAGGAGGACGGAAUAAAUUUAACGUAUGAUGAAAUCAAAAAUUGAAAGUAACCAAAAAUAUAUCCUUUUCAUUAUAAUAGCACGAAGUAGUGAAGGAUGGAAUAAAUUGCAAGCACGAUGAUCAAACAUUUAGGAGAUAAUAGCUGCAGGUCAAGAGAUGAUCAAACAUUUAGGAAACAACACACGAAAAUGCACAACCACCGAUUGACCAAACCGAAAAGGAAAUUAAAAUGAAUGCUCGAUGAUUUGAUUUCAAAUAAAAAAUGCUAAAAAUGAAAAUUUGCAAUAUGAACCUCUCAAUUUAGCCUUGCCCUUGCCCUUGCCCUUCGACUCCAUUUUAGCCUAUGCACUUCUGAUUUGCCGGCCGGCCGACGGUGCAGUUCGGCACCUGCCGACCUCACGCUUGCUGCCUGCACCUUAUCGGUGCUCGUGACCUCGGGCCUCGACGUCGCCCGUGACCGGUGAUCGCCAAAGCACAAGCGCUAGGUCUCUCGUGUGGAUAUUGGGCUGCUAGUGUUUUGGGCCAUUAUGCACCAGGGCAAAAAAACAAAUCAAUUGGCCCAAUGCAAAGAACACUCGGCCUUAUAACGGUUGGCAGCCUGACGUUUCCUUUCUGAAUUUUUUUAUUUAUAUAUAUAUUUUUACGAAUUUACGGAAAUAAAUAGUCGAACCAAAAAUUUACAAAAAUAGACCUAUGCCGCCAGACCAAACGGUGGUAGGAGGGCUUUCGCUGGUUCAAACAGCGGAAGGAUGCCGGCCACACCGUCCUAGCUUGGUUCGCCAGUUGAAACGGCAGUAGGCCACUUACCGCCGUUUCGUACGGCGGUAGGCGGGCUGCCGUUUCAAGCGGCGGUAAGUGGCCAGCUUACGGUUCAGCUGGGUUGGGGAUGUUAUAGCCGGUUGAAACGGCUACAAUUUACCGGCUAUAACUUUGUUUUAAUUAUUUUUCCUUGAUUUUAUAGGAUAUUUAUGAAAGUAAAAUAUGUAGUUCCAUUGCAAUAUGUAACUUCGUAAUUCAAGGCUACAGCUAUGCUUUAAAUAUUUUCCGUUAUUUAUGUAUGACAUUAUUGAAAGUAAAAUAUGUAGUUUCAUUGCAAUACAUAACUUCGUAAUUUGAGGCUAUAAAUCUGUUUUUAAAAAAAUUCUUUAUUUUUGUAUGACAUUUUCGAAAGUAAAAUAUGUAGUUCCAUUGCAAUAUGUAACUUCGUAAUAUUUGAGGCUAUAACUCUAUUUUAAAUAUUUUUCUUUAUUUUGUAUGACUUUUUUGAAAGUAAAAUAUGUAGUAGUUUUGAACGUUGGCUGAACGUCUCAUUUGUAGAACGGUACUAAGAUGGUUCAUGGACCAUGUCCAUAAUGGCAAAUGGAAAAGGACAUGCAUGGACAUCAUAGCCUGCAUUGGCCUAGCUAUGAAAACAUACACAACACACACUGGAUAACAUCGUAGCCUGCGCCGGCCUACAUAAAGUAGUCUGCGGAUGACCACACAUCGUACGCUAUACAAUUAUACACAUGAUAGUCUGCACCGUCUACAAAAGAUAAAGGUCCUACGCACUAAAUGCGUCCUCGCUUGAAAUGAGGCUCACCGCAACCACGACCACGCCUCGCUGCCCGCUGCGCAGCUCUAGUCCGGUACUAGUCGUACGUCAAGGGCUUUUGUGGGGCAACGUCGCGAGGCAGACGUCCAGCUGCGGCCGCAGCUGGUGUCGCGAAGUCCUGAGCCUCCGGGGUGUCACGCAACUGCGAAGCACCAAUCACGUCAGGCUCGGUUCUCAACAUUUCGUCCACCACCCAUGCAUGAACGCUGGACCUCUGUCCCUCCUCCUCGACGGAGUUCUCCGAAGCCCCUUCGCAAUUUGUGAACCCUGUUAUUGAACCAAGGAAAUUACUGCUGUCUGCGACCCUUGUUAUCGAUAGGGGGCGGUAAGGGACGUACCGCCGUUUCACCCGGCGGUAAGACCCUUUACCGUCGUUUCAAUCGGCGAUACAGGCCUACCGCCAUUUGGUCCGGCGAUAUAGAUCUAUUUUUGCAAUUUUUUGGAUCAACUAUUUAUUUAUGCAAAUUCAUAAAAAAAUAUAAAAAUAUAAAAAUUCUUUGCUUUCUUCUUCCAGGACCUUACAUUCAUCAGUUCAUCGCUCAUACAGGCAGCCAUGACGUCCUGUGUGUAGAUGCAGCAACGGAACCAAAUAAAUGGAUGAAAAACGCACGUUACGUAAUGGAGUAAGGAAGCAAAUGAAGGCAGAGAAACAAGAAAAAGGAUCGAAUCAAAUAGAAAAAGAAAAAGGAAAACCCACAUGCUAUGCUAGAAUGAAGAUCAUGGCAAACAGAUGCAGCCAAAGGGUCCGAUCGAUCCGAAACUGCGUGGUGGCAUGAUCGCCCCCACAGUCCCACCCCCGGUGGCGAUGAUAGUUUUGUCUCUCUCUCAGCUCUGCGAAAGAUUAAUUGCAGCCACCUGGGCACUAAAGGGCAUUUGAUCCUGGAGCUAAAGUUUAGUCCGUGUCACAUCGAAUAUUCGGAUACUAAUUAGAAGGACUAAGUAUGAACUAAUUACAAAACUAACUGCAGAAUCCCUAGGCUAAAUCGUGAGAUGAAUAUAUUAAGCCUAAUUAAUCUAUCAUUAGCGAAUGUUUACGGUAGCACCAUAUUAUCAAAUUAUGGACUAAUUAGGCUUAAUAGAUUCGUCUCGUGAUUUAGCCUAGGGGUUGUGAAAUUGGUUUUGUAAUUAGCCUAUGUUUAAUAGGUCUAAUUAGUAUCCAAACAUUCAAUGUGACAGGGCUAAAAUUUAGCCCGGGGAUCCAAACACCUCUAAAGAAAGAAUGCUCGGCGUCAUCAUGCAUGAUGCUAUUUCACUAGCUACUUUGUUUCUCUCAUUCUUUAUUAUCUUUUAAAAAUUAUUAGAAGAACCGCUCGCUGCUGAUUCAUUGAUGAACAACCAAAACUGAAAUAAGGACUGAGAUACAGCCUUUGGUGCUUUUGUGCUCCCGACUUUGGACCUUGUGAUGACAUCACCAUGAGCUUAUCGACCUGCUCCUGCUCCUGCUCCUGCUCCUGCUGUAUGGCGAUAAAAAGCUUGUCAUGGUCCCAGGUACUCUUUCUAAAGAUUGGUCGGAUCAUCGAUCGCUCGCUGCUGAUUCCUCUAACAAGAGAAGCAAAAGUAUUCACAGCAGCUAAUAAAACUGGUUUGCAGUUUGCAAAUAAAAGAGAAUGGCCGCCACUGAAUAAUAAUCACUGCGACUGCCAUGCAUGCGACUCGACCAUCAUGCCAUAUAUAUUAACCUCUUUAAUUUGUUUCUUCCAUUCUUUACUCCAUGACCGUAUAUAUGAUUCGUGUUUUUUGUAUGUGGACAAGCUGAUUUAUCGAUCAUCCUGUGAAGAAUUCCAUUUUUCUCGAUCAUUCAAAAGCUCAGUCUCAGAUGGAUUAUCUCGUUGAGCUCCGGCUGUUUCUGUGUUCUCUCCAUGACUCCAAAGAGCAACAAAACCCACCACCAUAUUAACAACCAAAUAAAAACGUUUUCCGUAGAACAUAUGCUUCUGUCGGUGAAACCGAAGAUGAAAGGAUGAAUGCAGACGAGCAAAAAAGGAAACGCUUUGUUUUGAGCUUUUGAGUCCCCCACCAUCAUGCAUUUGUUCCAAUUUUAUUAUCAGCUUUGGUGCUCCGAAUGAUGUAAAAACACUGCUGCGUGCGGUUGCAGAGGUCAUAAAUAAUUUUCUUUUUCUAGAAACAUGCAUUUGUUCCAAUUGAGCUUGUAGGCUCAGGGCGCAGCAGCUCCCUUCGUAACGAAGGUUCACUUGUGUGGUCAAUAACCUCUCCGAGGAGGCAGGACGCCGGGACCUGGGGAAAGAUGCGAUAUGGUUUGCAAGAGAACAAGAACGAAAAAUUCUCUCCGAGAACAAUGCUUAUAUCCGGAUUGUCACCCUAAAUACAGCUCGCUCCUAAUCGCUAAGAUGACAUAAGUUAACUUGUGACAAAUUUACCCUAAAAACGAUUAGAAAAGUUUAAAGCGAUGCGGAAGCUUAAAAGAGCUGCUCGCAAAUUAACAUCAGCCUCGAGCUUCAAAGCUGAUACUAAGGGGGUGUUUGGGAGGAGUGCGCUAAACUUUAGCCCUGUCACAUCGGAUGUUCGGAUACUAAUUAGGAGGACUAAACAUAAGCUAAUUAUAAAACUAAUUGCAGAACCCCUAGGCUAAAUCGCGAGAUUAAUCUAUUAAGCCUAAUUAAUCCAUCAUUAGUGAAUGGUUACUGUAGCACCACAUUGUCAAAUCAUGAUCUAAUUAGGCUUAAUAGAUUCGUCUCGAUUUAGCCUAAGGGUUGUGUAAUUAGUUUUGUAAUUAGUCUAGGUUUAAUACUCCUAUUUAGUGUCAAAUAUUCGAUGUGACGGGGGCUAAAAUUUAGCCCCCUCCUCCCAAACACCCCCUAAAGCUAUCUCCAGCUACUGAACUGAACGCAACCUGAGUUGCUACUCGAGAUUCUAUGGAAACAGAAAAGCUACAGGUGCAGCGAUGCAAGGCAGAGAUCGAGCUUGACAAGGAAAAGUGCAGCUGAGAAAUUAAACAGGCAAUGAUUAAUACUUGCAAGCUCUAGAACUCAAACCAGAAAGAUGCUCAAGCACACAAGCUAGCUGGCCGACUGAACAACACAAAAACUGUCACAGGAUCACCAUUUCACACUAAACAAGCUCACACAGCAUGAAUUGUUGAACGAAAAGGUAGAGCCUAAAUUGCCUUGCACUGAUUACUUACUGUAGCAUGACAAUGACAUUUCUUUUGAGAAAUUCUGAUCGGCAAAACAAAAGAGCAUUAAGUAAUUAGUUUAGUGCUUGGACUCUGUAGCAUGAAAGCAACCUUUCAAGGUACUAUCUGCUGUGCUUGAGCUGCUUAGGGGGUGUUGAGGAGAUACUCCAGUCACAUCGGAUGUUUGAACACUAAUUAGGAGUAUUAAACAUAGUCUAAUUAUAAAACUAAUUGCACAAUUCCUAGGUUAAAUCGCGAGAUGAAUCUAUUAAGCCUAAUUAGUCCAUGAUUUAACAAUGUGGUGCUACAGUAACCAUUCGCUAAUGAUGGAUUAAUUAGGCUUAAUAGAUUCGUCUCGCGAUUUAACCUGGGAGUUCUACUAUUAGUUGUGUAAUUAGUUUAUAUUUAGUCCUCCUAAUUAGCAUCCGAACAUCCGAUGUGACAGGGCUAAAGUUUAGCCCCCUAGUAUCCAAACGAGACCUUAGGCUAUCCGCACUCAUCAACCUCUAUUUCCAUACUUAAAAAAAUAUAUAUCCUAAUCAUCGAGAUUCUCUACUCUAUACUUAUUUCUUCCACACUCGUGUUAUCUCUAUCCCAUACUCUAUACUAACUACUCCAUAUUUUAUUCCCCUCCCUUCCCCUUCCUCUCUCUUCCCAACUCUCUCUCCGCGCGGAACCUUGGGAAGCGGAUAGCGGGCGGUAGGCGCGUCCUCCAGAGUAGCGGUCCACCGACCGACCGUUACCGUAGUGGCAGCCAUCCAGUACCGCGCUGCAGCGGGUAGCGGUACUGGAGCCUGUUUAGCGGCGCGCGGUGCGGACAGCCUUACUUGCGUGACCCGCAAAACCAAACGAUGCAGUACCUGCGCUUGCCGCUGGAAUUCAGAUGGCAACUAGUUCCUUCUCUGUUUACCUGCACAGGCUGCCGGACUGCCUGAAGGCCGAGCUGAAGCUGUAAAGACGAACGGCACAGACAGAGAAGAAAAUGCAGAGCUGAGGCUGCUACUGCACAAGAAAAUGGGAGACCCAAAGCCGCAGCCUGCACUGAAGAACACACGAUCGAGUCGCGCAAGAAGCUGCUGCAGAAAAUUGAAAGCUUGCUGCUGCGAACACAAGCUGUUGCCGCCACCGAACAAGUCAAGCUGCAGGCCACCUGGCUACCAGAUCACAGAAAUCAAACAACGGCCAGACGAUGCCCUCGACGCUCAGCCAACAGUCGGACCAGAUGCAUAUGGUCACACCUCGAUGUGCUGACGGGUGACCCUCUGGUGCACGACACAGCAAAUAGAGCAGAACUGGAGCUCGAGCUUUACACCAAAUUCACCAAAAACCAAUCAAAUCAGGACCGAUUCACACAGGAUUUUGGACCGCGAUCUCCUCACAUCAUGAGUAAACAGAUCCAAGAAGAUGAACCCCAAAACAUCAAGACCUCAUCAUCAAUUUUGCAAAUUUCGGGAAACCUAGAACAAGGGGAAAUUUUGGGGAAACAACAAAUUUGAGGUGCUCGGUGAGGGUUUUGUUGGAGAAUCACCCUAGGCUUGCUCACAACAUGUCCUAGCACCGAUUUGCCCCCAAGAAAUCCGCCUCAAAUCGCAGCCAAAACAGACGAACGGAAAUUCCAAAAAAAAAUCCUCCGAAAAUGCAGAAAAAUAAAAACGCUCGGGUAUGGACUAGAGGCGAACAAUUGCUUGUAUUGCUCCAUCACACCUAAAAGCUCUCACAAAUAAAUGAGAAGCCCAGCACCAAAGAGAUGUGACUGUCCAACAUCUCUCUCCACAUAUAUAUAUAUAUAGACAUCCGGACAAUAACCAGAAUGCCAUGCAUGAAGCACACAACUCAAAUACCACCAGGGGUAAAAUCGUCCAACUUUUUGUCGGUACAUCGAAUGGAUCCGGCACCUUCACGACUUCGGUUCGCCUCGACGCAAGCUUCAUGAUGGUGCCACGCAUCCUCCGACUAGAUGCUGUCCGGCCGCACCCGACUCGCCCCUCAGUUUUGAGGCCAAACCGGUCAAACCCUCUCGCACGCCCCGCCAAAUGUGACUCACCCCCAGUUUUGAGGUUAAACCGGUCAAAUCCUCUUGCACACCCCGCAGGUGUGACUCAUCCCGGUUUUGAGGUCCAACCCUCUUGCACGCCGCGCACGACAUGACUCACCGAUGUCGACGCGUGUCUGACAUCCGCCAAGCCUUCGAUGCCUCCAAGUCUUUCGCUCCCGGCUCCUGGACCGCCUACUCAACUCGCCUCCAUUCCGCUUGACUCGAUCGACACCGUCUCCAUCCCGUCCGUGUACUCUUGCUCUUCCGUGCACCAUGUGGAUCACCCAUGACUCCGUUCGGACUCCUCAGGUCACUCAGUCCAAGUCUAAUCGAGUCCACCCUUCAUAGCCCUAGUACAUCGGCAUGAACCUUUCGCUUGACCUUCACCUCAUGCCGUCGACCGCCAUGUUGCAUCCUACACCUGCACAUCACAAGCCAAAAGAUACAACACAUAAGAGAUGAUUUACACAAACACCACAACACAACGCAUAUAGCACAACACAUCCGGUAACAGAAAAUAUUUUAGGCUUAAUCUAGAUGCCCUAGGCAGUAAUAAGGAGAUUACUUUACUAUUACUAAUUGGAUAUUCAUUUCGAAGGGUCGUUAUAAAAAAAAGUAAAUCCAAAAAAUACUUAUAAAAAUAGAAAAUAUCUGAGACCAUCGAGGUAUACCCUAAUUAUCAAUUGUGGACCCACCACUACUAGAGAAAAUGGCUCUAGUACCGGUUUUUGGUACUAGAGAGGGUCGCUUUAGUACCGAUUAAAAUAACCGGUACUAAAGGGUGUUAAAAAUUAAAAAAAUAAAAUCCCCAAGCCCCACCAGGCCCCGCUCGCCCCCUCCCACCGCUGCCAGCCCGCCUCCCUCCCCUCGCCGCCCCUGGCCUCCCGCCCGCUAGCCGCUCCACCCGCCGCUCCCGCUCUGCCAGCCGCGCCCGCUCCGCCCGCCGCCAGCCGUUGCCGCUGCUGCUCACCUCACCCCGCUGCUGCUCCUCACUGCCGGUAAGGGGCUCAUGAAGGAGGGAGGGGAAGGGAGGCGGUGGAAGGAGAUCUAGAGCUAGCAGAAGGAAGAAGAUAGAGGAGAAAAAGAUAGUAGUGGAGAGAAAGAUAGCAGGGGAGGAGAGAAAGCUUGGUAGGUAGAAGGAGGAGAUAAGGGAGGAGGCGGCGGGGCAGGUGCGUGGAAUCGCGCGUAAAAAAAUCUAAGUCUUUACAGUGGGAGACCCUUUAGUACCGGGUGGGGGCUCCACUCGGUACUAAAAGUACUUUUUGUACCGGGUGGAGCCUAAAGGGGAUCACGGGGCCUCAUCGAAAGGCCCGAUACUAAUGGGCCAAAAAGUGACCGGUACUAAAUCUCAGAACGAGAGGUCAUUUUUUUAGCAGUGCACGGAUCGUACGAAGUCCAGGCAGAGACUAAGGAGGUGUUUGGAUACCCACCGCUAAACUUUAGCACAUGUCACAUCAGAUGUUUGGAUACUAAUUAGGAGUAUUAAAUAUAGUCUAAUUAUAAAACUAAUUGCACGGAUGGAGUCAUCUAUUAAGCCUAAUUAGUCCAUGAUUUGACAAUGUGGUACUACACUAACCAUUUGUUAAUGAUGGAUUAAUUAAUCUUAAUAGAUUCGUCUCGCGAAUUAGACUCCAUCUGUGCAAUUAGUUUUGUAAUUAGCUCAUGUUUAGCCCUCCUAAUUAGCAUCCGAACAUCCGAUAUGACCCUGCUAAAGUUUAGCAUCUCGUAUCAAACACCCCUAAAAUAUUUAUCUUCCUGUCUCCAACAAACGAUGUUCCGACCAUGAACUAAAAUCACUAUCCUCUUGCGGAUGUGGUGCCGGAACCUGGGUAGACGCCCGGGGUCGCCGGGCCCCGGGACCACCCUGGUAAUCAUCAUUGAUAACAGUAGACAUUCAAUACAUUAUGUUUUCUUUAAUAAUUACACACAUCUGUCGUUAAUGCAGGUCGUUGUGGCCGGCGACGGCAUGCUGCGAGCCAGGAACGUGGACUACGUGCGGAGGAUGGAGGAGAUGCGGAAGCCGGUGGAGGCCGUCGUGUUCCCGGGGCAGGGGCACGCCUUCUUCUCGCUCCGGCCGUGGAGCAAACCGGUGGAGGAGAUGAUCCGGGUUGUGAAGCGGUUCAUGGACAAGGUCUGCUCAGGAUGAGCUAAGCGGUUACUGUAGAUGCACUGAGCUGCUGCUUUGUGUUCUGAUUUUUCACUGCAAGCUUCAUAAAAUAAAUGGAGACUAAAUUUUAAGUCUUCAUUACUGGACAUUUACUAUGUUUUCUUCAUUUUACCCUUCAAUCAAAAUACGUAUGGCGCCGAAGUGGUGGAUGGUGUGUGUGACCCAUGCUUCAAAUUCGGCCGGGCUUCAUGUUGCCGCCAUCGUGGGGUUUGGGCCUGAUUUCUACACAUACUGGGCUGGGCCAACAUUUGGUGACCGGUGCUUUGUUUUGACCCAACAGAAGUCCCACCAACCUCAAAUUCAGAGGACCUAACAAUCCUCUCAAAAAUUUAGUAAUAAAUAUCUAUAAUCCUCUAAAAUAGUAUUGAAAAACACUCACGAAAAUACACCCUUGCUCACUUGGACCAGUUCCCAUCUAGUGUACCAUGUUAUAAUUUUCGAAGAAAAAAAUUACUUAACAAAUUAUCAGCUCUUUUCCAAGACGUCCUUUUAUAAUCGGACUAUUCAAUAUAAACUAGAGCAUUGAUCCCUCUGUUCAAUUGUUUUCUUUCAAGAGGAUAAUCUGUCCGAAUUGCCGAGUCAUCAUGGGUACCAAGUGGACCAUAUGGUUAGAUGUGCAUUUGCAUACACACUGGUACAAAGAGUUAUCUUUGCUCCCUGUCACUUCAGAGCUCUGAAUAACAGAACCCAUCCAAAACAAUCGAUCUGCUUUCUCCACUUCGUCUUCCCUCUCGGAUCAUGUGAUCAGCUCGCGAUCCAUCACCCUCCACACCCCCAUUGGAUAAGUCCAUGACGUGCCUUCUUCUCUUCCAUCUCUGUUAACAUCAGUCUAUCCACC